UGUUAGGUUAGCGCGAGGCGUGACCUAGUUGACAGGCUCUGAGGUGCUGCUGUGGCGGCGGCGGCCGGGCAGAGCGGGCGGGUUGAGGGAGGAGGGCGGCGACGGGCCAGCGGCUAGCGGCGCGGGACGCAGAGCCUUUGCACUUUUCCCUCCCGAGUGUCCCCCCACAUCCCCCCCACACUCCACACACCCUGUUUGCCCGUGAGCCUGGGGAACUUGCAGCUUAAAGCCAGCCACCCCCACGGCAGCAUGUACCCCAGCAACAAGAAGAAAAAGGUGUGGAGAGAGGAGAAAGAACGUUUGCUGAAGAUGACCUUAGAGGAGAGACGCAAAGAAUACAUAAGGGACUAUGUUUCUCUGAGCACCAUUCUGUCAUGGAAGGAAGAGAUGAAGAGCAAAGGCCAAAAUGAUGAAGAAAAUGCUCAGGAAGCACCACAGGUGAAGAAAAGCUUGAGUGAAAAGGUUUCUCUCUACAGAGGUGACAUCACCCUGCUAGAGGUGGAUGCAAUCGUCAAUGCGGCAGAUGAGAUUAAGACCAAAUGUUUCUUUACUGAUAGAGGUGGAAGAGUGGAGCCUUUUCCAGGUAGAGGAAGUACCACAAACCGAGGGAUGGAGAGAGGAUACGAUUUGAUGCUUUGAAUAACCUGUAAGAUGUGCAAAACCUUCAAAGUAGUGAAAGAAGCCAACCAGGCAGAUGCAAAGGUAUCUUGGAGGCUCCUGUAAUCUUGCAGUAAGUGGUGAGUCCCCAAAGUACUCUGUACUCUGAUGGUAGAUUUGGGGACAGAAUGUACACAGUGAAGACCAUAGGUUAGGUAGGAAGGUUGAUCAGAGUAGGAUGACUCCGUUUCUGAUUUGGGUGUCUGAAUCCAUUGUAGUGUUACUAAAAAUAUUUUCAAAGGGAGUAAGGAAGAAAGACAAUUAUUGUAAUUUCAAGUUAAAGGAUUAAAGUUCACUUGGAAUAUCUACCUGGAACUGUUAUCAUAAGGUGUUUAUGUCUCUGAAGAUUAGAAGUUUGUUAGCUUUUGAUAUAGAUGUAGAAGUGAAUUUUUGUUUUGGAAUUACAAGUGUUCUAUAAGAGAAAUUAACUGGAAGGAGAUAGUUUAGGAACAUGAAACAAGUAAUUCUUAGUGCUAGCAACGCUUAGGAAAACAAGUUAGAGUAGCUCAGAUGUUGCAGAGGUCAGAGAACUUAUGUAGCACAAUGUCAAUAAGUCAACCACAUGGGAGCAGGCGUCAGUGAUAAGUACAUCAGAGCAUGUGUUAGACUCUUAGGAAGAGAGAAGGAGGAUAACAAGAUAGGGAGCGAUGCAGGUCCGUGACCUGUACCUGUAAGACUGAGCAGGGUUUUAGUGGUUGGGAUUAUGAUGUAAUUAUACCUUUCCUCCCUUACCUUUCCUCCCUCAAAACUGUCUCAUAAUUCUCUUUGCCCUUUGCUCUGUCAAAUUUAUGGCCUCUUUUUAACUUGCUGAUAUAUUUAUAUUCCUACAUACAUAAAUAAACGUGUCCAGUCUGUCCAGUGUUACUUGAAUGUGUGUUUUCAGAGCUGAUUUUUGGAUAACCACUUAGUGGACUCUUCCCUGGGAAGACUUUCUCCAGUGCUCAGCACUCUUUUUGCCUGUAGCUCCUUAUGUAGGGUGAGGCCUCCUUGGUUUCCCCAUAUCUAUGUUAGCAUACCUAACAUGUUGUCCUUCUUCAGUCCAAGCACAUGUUGAACAUAAAUAAUUUUGCAGUGACCCCUUAUGUAAGUAUCCCUGGACUCAGGGGUCAGCAAAACCUUCCUCACUGUCUCAUUGGGUUUCUUUAUGGUCAACACUAAAGCAUAUGAAAUCAAUUAUAGAUUCCAUGUUCCUUCUUCCUUUGUCUAUCACAAGACAUUUCUUUCAUGGCUGUAAUAAUAGUAUCUUAGUUGAUUAAAUCAACACUUGAUGCCUUAAUAUUAUCCAAUAGGGAUCAUAAUCAGACUUCAUUUGUCUUAAAAAGGUUUUUUGUUUAUUUGAAUUGGUACCCCAAAAGCCUACACACUGCUGUCAGUUUUGAAGGUUCCCCACUGUUGCACCCUCCAUGUUCACCUUGAGGCAAACUAGGGUCACUUCUUUACUCCCUUGUGUGUUUGCUUUGCUAUGCAACCCUCUGUCCUCUGUGGCCAUUGUAAACGAGUGAGUUGUUAGGCUUAGAACCAUUGUUUUCUUGCUCUUUUUUAUUUUUCAGGAAAAAUUUCAAGUCAGAUGUUAAAUGUCUUGUAGAUGAUAUUGAAACAGUAGCGUUCCGUUUUAUGAAUUGUUGAUAAUCUGAAAUUAUUCCUUUAAUAAUAGAAACAUCAGAGUGAAUCCUUCUUUUAAAAGGACCUGCCCCUACAGUGUCAGUGGUCUGUUCCAAAAUUUCUUAGGUCUUCAAAAUAGUACAAUGAAUAUGAAAUAUUCAUUUAAAAUUACAGUGCUAAAUAGAUUUCCCUGCAAUAUCAAUUAACUUAUACUAUUACAUUGCACACAUACUUUCAAUUAUUGUUUCCUCUCUUUCCUGUGUCCUUUUUUCCAUCCCUUCAAAAACAAGCUAUCUGUUCCCAUGGAAGCCUUAACCAAGACAGAUAAAUAUCAGCAUCAUGGUUGGAAUACCAGAGCACAGUGCCAGCAAUUAUCCCACAAUGUGUGUGUUGGCAAUAACACACAGGGACUUGAGCGUAUUGCUAAUGGCCAUCAAGGGUUGCAAGCUAGUCUCUAAACAAAUUAAAGUGCCCCAGAGGACUUCUUCAGCACAGUAUAAUCAAGAUUUGGAGAUAUGAGCUGCUUUGUUAGGGCUUGUUGUGAAUUUUGCAUUGCCCUAUUGUAUGUGAAAAUUAGUGCCAACCUUGUAAACUGACCUACAUAACACGCAGAACAACCAAGAAGACAUUGAACUAGCCAUAGAAACAUGGGGUAUCACUGAGAAGGCACAUUAUAAUGCAGGGAAUCCUAGUGUGGGAGUGAGAAUGCAAGGACUCUGGGUUUAGAUGGAGCUUGAUUAGGGAAAUGUGCUGGUAUCUGUCAUCUCAGAGCUGAAAUGUGUCGAUCCGCAUCACCGAGCAGAAGGGUACUCCCAGGAAUAGAGGAGUCUUUGGCUUAAAUAAAUCACAAAGCUGACUUACUCUCACUUUUUUUCUUUUUUAAAGAUAACACUGACAAUAUAGGUCUUAUCAUUCUUAUCAGAAUAAAUAAGAAAGAUAAAGGGGAUAAAGGAUAUAUUAAAAAGUUGAGGGCUUUUUAAAUUAAAGUUGAUUUUUAAGAAAAAUUAUAUGAAAAUGCUCUUUUACAGUUCCUUUGUGCUUUGUUACACAAUAGAUAUUAAUGAAGUAAGAGUGAUGAAUAUUUUCUCACUAGCACUCACACUUUUGUAAUGCUGAAUCCACUCUUUAAAUAUGCUGGAUUUCGAAAGUCAGAUUCUCUUCAACCUCACAGAUAAAAUAAUUUAUUUUUAAUGCCACGUUUUAAUAAUUUUUAUUAUAGUUAUAGUUUGUUGUAUUGAAAACCUCCUCUUUACCCCUGCUAAUUCUAAUUCUGGGAAAUAUUCUUAUAGGUGGUUCUCUCAUUCUUUGUCAAUAUUACAUAAGCAUUUCAUCUACUAAUAGGAAUUAAUACGUAUUAUAUCCAUGAAGAGAUUAUAAGGCAGGGCACUAAAAACUGAUACACAUAAAGUAAUUUGUUUUGUACCAUCUGCAUUAUAGAAAAAACAUGAAGUAAAUUUGAAAUCAUACUAGAGCCAUAAAUAUGUUAAGGGUUUACUAUUGGGCAAAUUUUUCUCAGAAGCAGUACAUACAGCUGAGUGUGGUAGUACAUAUUUGUAAUCCUAGAGUUUGGGAGGCUGAAGGAGGAGGACUAUAAGUUCAAGAACAGCCAGGAGUGAUACUCUGUUAAGAAAAAAUAAGUACACACACACACACACACACACACACACACACCUCUCACACAUCUCAACAUACUGAUUUCUUUCCCAGGUAGAUUUAAUGGUUAGAAUAUGCCCUCUAACCCGAAAUAAAAUAUUCCUCUCUGACUCUCUUCUCGGUUGUAAUGAUUACCACUUCUAGAUCAUCUCACCAAAUCUUCUAGACCUGGCAGCCAUCCCGAUGUAUGAAUACAGGUCCCUUGCUUCUCUUUGCAAAGCCAUAUUUCUCUUACUUUCUUAACUUCAUUUUCCUUUAUAAUUAUAGUAUCAUGGCCCUUCAUAAUUCUAUUCAGACUCCUCUAAAUAACUGGAUUUGUUGUGUUGUAAUUUCCUUAAAAUGAGGAUAUCAUCCAGGUCUGAUGUGCUAGAGCAUAAGUGUCCUACUGUCUGACUAAUGUUGGUUGUCACAUGGAUGCAACCUAAUACAUGCCGUAUGUAGUGUAAAACUACAGGAGACUCUGGUUAAGUGAUCUUUACGUUCCUUAAUCCUUUUCCUUCUUGUUUUGCUAUAUAAAUGGCUUCAGCUCUAUAUUCACUUACAAGAUGUGCUAUAUUCAUAUUAUUUAAAUACAUAUCUUUCUCUUUUUUUCCCAGAGCUGAGGAGUGAACCCGGUACAAACCCGGUACACAUCUUUCUUUUCUGGCUUUCAUCUUUGGUCCUUUCAAAGGAAUUUAGAGUUCUAAUUCCAUAUCUUUCUCCUGUGAAUUGUGAAUCUCCAACUCAAGUAGUGAGACUGGGAACUAAUUUUUGUGCUUCUAAAGGGUGAAUCACAUAGGUAUAUGUAUGUGGGGGGUAGGAUGGAUAACAUAAUUGAUGCCUGACUUUUGCCAAAGUACCUGACAUUUGAUAACUCUACCUUUUUUCUUAUUGUUGAAUUUAUGUUUAGGAAUGUCAACAACUUUCUAGAUGAUCCUGUCAAAGUCACACAAAUGUACUUGUACUUGGGAAUAAACACAAGGUUGCAAUAUAGGACACACAAGUAGUGUUGGCUAUGGAAUCACCAAGAAAAGAAGGGAGGGCUGGGGUUUUCCUGGGGAAAAUAGAAAAGGUGACCAGGAAGAUGGGUCCGUGAGUAAGAGCACUAGGCACUCAACUUACAUGGCAAAAGGGAUGUGCAUCAAUAUUCCAGCACUCCUAUACUGAGACGGGAGGUGCAAACAGGACAGGUGCUCAGAGCCUAGAACAUGCAGCAUGUGGCAUAGACAAUGAGAGCUGUUCAACCCCAACGAAGCAGAAGGUGACAUUUCACUCACAGAUAUUUUCUGACUUCCACAUAUGUGCCAUGGUGUACAUCCUCCCAAAGAGAAGAAAGGCUGGGGCAAGGGGAGGUGGUCUGAAAGAAGUUUAUUGAUUCCUGUGGUAGUGUGAGUGCUGGUAAGCUCUAGUUGUUAACUGGCUUCAAAUAGCAAGUAAACACAGCUUAAAACUCACAGCAGUCUAUUUCCUUUAGUAAGUUUGGGAGACAGUGAACUAAAGAAAGUGCUCCUGCAAGAAAUCCACUGUCUUUAUGAUAUAUGUUAUUAAUUAGUUUUCUGAUUGCUGUGACAAAAUAUCUAUCAAAAGCCACUUGUGAAAGAAAGGAUUUAUUUUGGUGCCCAGGCUCAAGGCAUGGGCUAUUAUAACAAUGAAAAUAUAGUCAGGACCACAGGAUCGCUACUCAUACCACAUGCAUGGUUUAGAGAAAGGGACAGAUGAAUUUGGGUGUUCAGCUUACUCUUUGCUUUGUAUUCUCUUCUGGACCCCAGAUCAUGGAAAGAUGACAUUGACUUUUUUAUCAUUGCCCAAUUAAAACCGGUUAACUUUAACUGAAUUUUAACUGCCACCUACAAUAGACAAGAAAAUGAGUCACAGUUCUGCAUUGAUUUUAGAAACAUGAAAUGUAAAAGGUAAUAAAUAAAAAUAUUUUCCCUUCUUUUCUUUUCUUCUGUUGGAUUUUAAUUUACAUUUCAAAUGUUAUCCCUUUCCAGAUUUUCUGUCCAUAAACUUCCUAUCCCAUAGCCCUUCCCCCUUCUAUGAGGGUGUUCGUACCACCCCUUCCUGCCUCCCCACACUGACAUUCCCCUACACUGGGGGGAGGGAGGGUUUAGCCUUGGUAGGACCAAGGACUUCUCCCAUUGGUGCCUAACAAGGCCAUCUUCCACUACAUAUGCAGCCAGAGCCAUGGGUCUAUCCAUGUGUACUCUUGGAUGGUGGUUUAGUUCUUUGGCGCUCUGGUUGGUGGUAUUGUUGUUCUUAUGGGCUUGCAAACCCCUUUAGUUCCUUUAAUCCUUUCUCUAACUCUUCCAAUAGGUACCCAUUCUUAGUUCAAUGGUUGUCUAUGAGCAUCCCCUUCUGUAUUUGUCAUGCUCUGACAGAGCCUCUCAGGAGACAGCUAUAUCAGGCUCCUGUCAGCAUGCAAUUCUUAGCAUCCUCAAUAUUGUCUGGGUUUGGUGGCUAAAUGUAUAUGGGCUGGAUUCAAAGGUGGGGCAGGCUGUGAUUCGCCAUUCCUCCAGUUUCUGCUCCAAACUUUGUCUCCAUAUCUCCUCCUAUGAAUGUUUUUGUUCCCCCUUUUAAGAAGUACUGAAGCAUCCACACUUUAGUUCUUCUUGAGCUACAUGUGCUCUGUGGAUUGUAUCUUGGGUAAUUCGAGCUUUUGGGCUAAUAGCCACUUAUCAGUGAGAGCAGACCAUGUGUUCUUUUUUGUGAUUGGGUUACCUCACACAGGAUGAUAGUUUCUAGUUCUAUCCACUUGCCUAAGAAUUUCAUAACAUGAUUGUUUUAAUAGCUGAGUAGUACUCCAUUGUGUAAAUGUACCACAUUUUCUGAAUCCACACCUCUGUUGAAGGACAUCUGGGUUCUUUCUAGCUUCUGGCUAUUAUAAAUAAGGCUGCUAUGAACAUAGUGGAGCAUGUGUCCUUGUUAUAUGUUGGAGCAUCUUUUAGGUAUAUGACCAGGAGUAGUUUAGUUGGGUCCUCAGGUAGUGCAAUGUCCAAUUUUCUGAGGAACCUCCAGACUGAUUUCCAGAAUCAUUGUACGAGCUUGCAAUUACACUAACAAUGGAGGAGUGUUCCUCUUUUUCCACAUCCUCAUCAGCAUCUGUUGUCACUUGAGUUUUUGCUCUUAGCCAUUCUGACUGGUGUGAGGUGGAAUCUCAGGGUUGUUUUGAUUUGCAUUUCCCUGAUGACUAAGGGUGUUGAACAUUUCUUUAAGUGCUUCUCAGCUGUUUGAUAUUGUUCAGCUGAGAAUCCUUUGUUUAACUCUGUACCCCGACACCUAUGGUCACUUGAUCUUUGACAAUGAUCAAAAACUAUCCAGUGAAAAAAAGACAGCAUUUCAACAAAUGGUAAUGGUUCAACUGGGGGUCAGCAUGUAGAAAAAUGCAAAUAGAUCCAUUCUUAUUGCCCUGUACAAAGCUCAAGUCCAAGCGGAUCAAGGAUCUCCAUAUAAAACCAGAUACAUUCAAACUAUAGAUGAAAAGUGGGGAAGAGCCUUGAACACAUGGGCACUGUGGAAAAUUUCCUGAACAGAACACCAAUGGCUUAUGCCAUUAACAAUCAACAAAUAGGACUUCAUAGAAUUGCAAAGCUUCUGUAAGGCAAAGGACACUGACAUUAGGACUAAAUGGCAAUCAACAGAUUGGGAAAAGAUCUUUACCAAUACUACAUCCUACAGAGGGCUAAUACCCAAUAUAUACAAAGAACUCAAGAAGUUAGACUCCAGAGAAUCAAAUAACCCUAUUAAAGAUAUUGACUUUUUGGGUGGGAUCACCCUGAAAUUCCAUGCAGACUCUCAGAGUUAUCUUCUCUGUGGUUUUGGAUCCUGUCAAAUUGACAGUCAGUACUAACCAUCAUGCGAUGUUGUCAGGCAAAUCGUGUGAAUACUCCCCCUUCAUCUAUCAGGGUUUGGCCUUUGUAACUCCAUUUUGAAACUGAUAACCAUGCAUAACCAUAAACAUGAUAACCAACUGUUUAGAGGCCUUGUUCUUGAUAGCAUUUGCUCGUUUUAACUUUGAAAGACAUAAAAUUUGCCUUUUUGCUUUACCAAACAAGACUCAUUCAUUCUGAGAUCCAAGAUCUAUUUUUUUUCUGUUCAUCUUGCUGACCUUAAUAAAUUCAAAAUUGUUAGGUUGACUUGUGCCUAAAUCUCACUAAUACCAUGUAUGGCUGAAGUAGGGUUCAAGUUCCCCAUUUCUUUUCAUACCAUUGAUACCUUUAUUUUUUUCUAUGCGAGUCAUAAAUUUAUGUAAGGUGGCACUACAGAUUCAGAAUUUUCCCAAGAAAGUAAAAAGUCUAAAGAUUCUUGAGUAUGCUCUGGUAUCUGUGGACCUUUAUCUGAGAACCAUUCAGUUUCUGCCAUGAGAUAGCUUUGACUGAGAGCUCUGGGGACUAGUGAAAGGGCCAAUUGUGGUUAUCCAAGCUUCUAUUUCCUUUGCAGUUGAAGUGCCAUCAUCUACUUUUCAUGACUCUUAUGUGUUAAAUUGACAAUAGUAGCUAUCUUCAGGCACCUUUUUCCUAAUUGGUUGGAACUUUUCAAAACUAACACAUCUUCUGUGAGAGAAAACUCUAAGCUCAGUUCAAUUAAUAUUAUUUGUGAGGCACUAUUGUGGGUGUGGACUUGUUCCUGGUUUCAUGGGUGACAGUUGUUAGACCAGGAAGGAGCUUGCUUACCUCAGAGCCUUUAAAGAAGAUAAUCAAUUGGUAAUGAGAAUGCUGAGUUGAUAUAGACUGAGAAAUCGAUUUGGAGCCCAAGUGACAGUAAUGAUACUCAUGAAAUCCUGGUAACACUUUUACACACCAAGGACAGAGACAUAUUCAAGGAACAACUUAUUGAAGGAACACACUUAAAGUGUUGUUUAAGAGGUUUCCAAAGAACUAGUUUACGUGUUUUGAUGUUUCUGGGAGACUGAGAUGUGCCUUAAUGGCUUAACUAGGCAUCUGGUGGUUAAUUACACACUCGCGCUGGAAAGUCUUUAAGGAAAGGAGUGGAGGCUGUUGUUUAACUCUCAUUUAUUUACUUAUUCAUCAGAUGUUCCCUUGAUAUCACCUCAGUGCAAGGCAUUGUACUCUUAAAGAAAAAUAUGAGAACGGAGACUCUACCCUAGUCAAAGACAGAGAAAGGGAUGGGGAAAACAUGGGCAGAGGUUAGGUGAGCCCCCCACUGAUGUGUUCUCUCACUCUCUAAUCCUUUCAUACUGCCGGAAAGAUACAGAAUGCCCAUAGGAUGAAGUAUAAUCUGCAGAAUUCCUUGUGUUCGGCAUCAGGCUAAUUAAAAUUAAAGCAAGCAACUGAACAAUUUCUAGCUGGAGCAUUGCAUUGGCUCCUAGAAAGGAAACCUGAUGCUUGGUUUUCAUGCAGAGGGAGAAAAUGUGUAGGAAGGGUUUUCAACUUCUUCUUAUAACAAAUGAGAUAGAGCUCGGGCCUUCUGGUCUGUGGAAGGACAUGCUCAGAAAGUCUUAGAGAUAGUUAAUGAACAGUGGAUUUUCAUUUGCUCUCAGAUGGAUUUUUGUUUUCAGGUGACCUUGAUCUCGCUCCAUAGCUCAGGCUGGUAUCAAAGUUACAGAGAUAAAGAUCUAUCAGCAUUCACCUCUUAAUUUAUAUGAACUUGAAUCACUACCUCUGUCUGUGCUCAGCAAUUUCCAAAGGGUUCACAAUUUCAUUGCAGUAAAUACUCUUUAUUUGUGAUUAUUCAAACAUAUACUUAGGCAUCUGUUUAUCCAUAUUCAGUCUCUUUUUUCUGUAAAUGGACCUUUCAGUUUAGAAUUGAGCUAGGCUAUAGAGAGAGGAUUGGUUAUCUAGCAGUAGAAAAGCAAUGAUAAUUAAGUUUAAAAAACUGAAAUUAAUUAGCAUGCUCUAUAGUGUAUAGGUGAAACAGCACAGCUUGCGGACUUGCUUGGAAACAGUGUUUCCUGUAUGCUCCAACCAUCGCUUUCUAGGUCUCUUUAUCACUUUUUAAUCUAGUUGUAUUUUAAUAUAUGGCAGUUGUCACAAUAAAUAUGUUUGCACAAUAUAAAUUUGACUCUAAUUAAAUCCGAAGAAAAUGAAAUGGAAUUUACUUCAUGUUUACUAUGUUAAGUUUGUUAAAUUGUGUAUUAAAGUAUCCUGGUGAUUACAGUAUUAUCAUUUUGAAUAAGAGCCUAUCACAUUCAGUGUCUUCUGCCUCUGGGUGCAUCAGAAAAUUUAGAGAGCUUUAAACAGUAACUACUAUUAUUUAGAUGAUAUAUUUUGUGUCUCUUUUGACACAAAAUUUGACAUGUUAUAUUUAUGAACGAUAGUGUAAAUUUUGAUACAUGUUUAUGAUAUGUAAUAACAAAGCAGAGUAAGCAACUUAUAUGUUAUCUUAAGCAUAUCAUUUUUUUAAUGUGUGGAGAUUUUAAAACUUUUUCUUCUAGUUACUGAGAAAUAUACACAAGUAGGACUGGAGAGAUGGCUUAGCGGCUAAGAGCUCUUACUGUAUGAUCAUAAAGACUAAGGUUAAGAUCCCAGCACCCACAUAAUAAGCCAGGUAUCCUGCAAAUGCCUGCAGCUCCUGGAGCUCUGAUUCCCACUUCUGACUGCCAUACAUGCAAGGGUGUAUGUACCUGCAUACACACAUGCACGCACAUGCACACACACACACACAUGCACACACACACAUACUCACACACACAUACAUGCACAUAGGUGUGACACUUUUAAAUAGAUAUAUACAGGAUAUAAUUAGGUAGGAUUCCUAGUGUUCCAUGGCAUAGUGGGGUGACUAGUUAAUAAUCUCUUAGAUGAUACUGUAAACAUUCUGCAAUUUAAGCAAGAUUCCAUUCUUUACUUUUUGCCCCAUUCUCCCUUCCCCUCUAACUUCCUACCUGUCUUAUUUCUUUCUUUCAUGGGAGUUACACUAAGGACCUUGCUUGCUAAGCAAACACUUUACUGACAGCCCAUUUCUAAACUCAGCCUUUGUAAGUAUGAUCCUAAGUUGCUCUGUUGUUAAGUUUAUAGUUAAUGGAGUCUUAGGGCGAGGGUAGUGUUAGAUACAGAAGGACUCUGUGAGUGUUCCUGUAUCAGUUCCGGGUAAGGAGGAUAUCCAAAUGAUGCUUAAGGAAGGUGAUUCUAUUAAUAAUGUCGGACACCUUAGAUACUUAGAUAUAUGGCACAAUGGAUGCUGGAGUGCCAAGAGAUACAAUUUUGUAGCUUGAGCAGAAGAUAUUUCUUCAGUUAAAUUAUUUCUUAUAAUCAAAGUAAAACAUAGUUUUCUGUCACAGGAUGUAUUCAGUCUUCUUCCCUAGAACAAGACAAACACGCAAACAAGCAAUCCUCCAUCAUCACUUACAGACAACUGCAGCAAGAACAAUCUCCGGGCACCUGACUUACAUCAGGGCAGUAAGUCAGUUCCUCGAUCAUCCCGUGCUUGAAGAAGUUUCCUCAUAGCCACUCUGUUCCACACUGCAGUGAGUUUGCUGUUAGGCGUCUGUCAGGCUAAGAGUAUUUUCACUGUGAUGACAGCGAUCACACCUUUAACAACAGACAGCAGCGUGCAGAGUCUCUGUAUUUCAUCAGUCUGUUUACAUGAUUCUUGAUGGGUUGCAAAGAUGAUAUGUUUGCUUCAGCAGAUGAGAAGUGUACUUCUUAGAGAAGACUAAUGCCUCUCUCGUAGGCCUUUAGUUCGUAAAAGACACGUCAGAUUCGAAGUCAAAAAUAUCUAGCUUUUAAUGCUUCUCCAAUAAUUCCUGAAGGUAGCAGCCUGUCUUUUCUUGUAGAGAAGCUGUACUCAAGAGCUGCAGUAUAGAUUCAGUGCUUUUCUCAGUAUCUCUUGAACAGUGGAGGAUGUGUCAGUCUCCCCAACAUCUAUAAGACAUUGGCAUUAAUAAGGAAACAUUCUAAAUUAGUGUGUCUCCGGAUAAUUCAAUCACGAAUAAUUGGGUGGUCUUUGAGAAAUUGAAGAUCUACUGUCAAAAGGAAAUGUCUGCUCUCUGCAUGACUUAUCCAUCAAAAAGGAGGGUUUCAAUUCUAGUUCUCUGAAUGGACAGGGGGAGCCGUCAUGCUUGUCAUCGACUUUAGUCCUUUUGGGAGACAACGGUAACUUGUGCUGUUUGGGGAGCUUACAGGGCCUCACCGGCCACUAACUUGUAUCCCAUACCUGGCUCUGGGAUUCUCUCUCUCUCUCUCUCUCUCUCUCUCUCUCUGUCUCUGUCUCUGUCUCUGUCUCUGUCUCUCUCUCCCCUCCCCUCUCCUCCCUUCCCCUCUCCUCUCUUCUCCUCUCCUCUCCUUUCUUUUUUUGUGGUUUCCAGGGACUCUCUAUGUAACAAUCCUGAAUGUCCUGGACUCGCUUGGUAAGUCAGGCUGGCCUCAAACUCACAGAGAUCUGCCUGCCUCUGCCUUCUGAGUGCUGGAAUAACAGGUGUGCACCACCACACCCAGCUAGGAUUUUCGUUCAAUAACACAGAGCUUCUAGGAGGACCAUCAUCCACCCAUGGAGGGUACCUCCACUCAAGCUCUUUAAUGUAUUUUUAAAUAACCUAUAAAAUGGUAUAUUUACAUUGGGGUUUCAAUAGAUCCCUGGCUUUGGUUACCUAUUUCCCACCAUGUCCCUAUCUUCUUACUUGUGGUUUCCUUAGACCUUUCUACUUCCAGUGUUUCCUUCUUCACAUCACGUGUUCUCUUUCUCGCUUUCUCCUUCUAAUGGCCCCCUUCUAUCAUUCUAGCCUUUAUCAGCAUUCAGUGUUAAUGACACUACUUUAAAAAUUCAUAGCUAGGAUCAACAUAAAAGGGAGAACAUGUGGUACUUCUCUUGCUUGGCCUGGGAUACCUCCAGAUCUUUCUACAAAAUUCAUAAUUUCAUUAUUUUUUCCCACAUAAAAGUUCUGUUGGGCAUAUGUACCACAUCUUCAUUAGUCAUUACUCUGUUGAUGAACACCUUGCUAUGGUGAGUAGAGCCACAAUGAACAUGGAAGAGUAUUUCUGUUGUAGGACAGAGUCCUUCUGUGUAUACCCAGGCAUUCUAUAGCUCAGUCAUAUUGCAACCUUGUGUUAUCUUUAACUUCUUGAGUAACUCCCACACUACUUUCAACAGCAGUUACACCAGUUUAUAUCCAUUCCUAACACAAGCAAAUGCGGAAGGCUUUCUAGUCUGGUGUUUUCUUUAUAGUAGCCUGGAAUAGUGGAGAAUCUCAAUUUUUUUUUCAUUUUCAUUUUCCUGGUAGCCAAGUACACUUUAAAAAAUAGUUAUUUUCUAUCUCUAGUUCUUCUUUUGAGACCUCUCUAUUCAGUCCUUCAGUCCACUCACUAAGUGGGUCAUCUGUUUUCUUGUUUUUUUUUUAGUUAUAUGUAGAUUCUACAUAUUAAUCGUAUGUAAGAUGUACAGCUGGCAAAGACUUGGUCAACAAUUUCCACUACAGAACAAAAGAUUUUUAAUUUUAUGAGAUGCUACUUGUUCACCAUUGGCCUUUUUCAUGAAUGAGCGGAGUCUUGUUCAUAGAGUCCUUAUCUGUGUCUAUGUCUUUUUUAAAGGCUUAUUUUUAUUUAUGAGUACAUGGGAAUGUCUGUUUGAAGGUCUGCUAUGUUAAUUCAUGCAUCCUUGGAAGCCAGAAGAAUGCAUCAGAUCUCCUGGAGCUGGAAUUGCAGACAGUUGUAAACUACCUGAUGUGGGUAGGGAUUAAACUCAGAUCCUCUGGAAGAGCAGCAUUCUUAACCACUGUGUAAUCCUCCAGCCCUUGUACCUAUACCUUUAAGUGCACUCCACACUUUGUCUUCUAGUAGUUUCAGGACUAUCAUUUAAGGCUUUGGUCUAUUUGAAAUUGAUUUCUGUGCAGGAUGAGGGAUAAAGAUCAACUUACUUUUUUCUAAAUAUCGAUAUCCAGUUUCCUUAACAUCAUUUGUUGAUGAUACUACUUUCCAAUAUAUAUUUUUGAGUCCUUUGUCAAAAAUAAGGUGGCAGUAGUUGUAUGGACUUCUGUCUGGGUCCUCUAUUUUAUUCCAUUGAUCUAUCUGUUCUUGUACCAGUCCUAUGCUGAUUUUAUUAAAAUGGCCCUGUAGUAUAGCUUGAUACAGGGCAUUCUGACACCUCCAGUAGUGUUCUGAUUGACAGUUCAGUAUUGCUUUGGCUAUUUAAGGUCUUUUGGCUUCCUUAUGAAAUUUAAGUUUUUUUUAAAUUCUUUUAAAAUUAAGUUGGAAGUUUUAUUAGAAGUGCACUGAAUUUGUAGAUUGCCUUUAAUAAGAGGGAUUUUUCCAUCUUUAACUUCUUCAGUGUUUUAAAAUUUUUAUUUAAAUUGUUUCACUUCCUUGGUUGGGUUUAUUCCAAGGUAUUUCUGUCUUCUUUUGUUUUGUUGAGGCAUUUUUUAUGGGAAUAUUUUUAGGAUUUCUUUUUCAGCAUGGUUGUUGUUGAUUUUUGUGUUUUGUAAACUGCCACUUUGCUAAAAGUGUUGAUCAAUCCAAGAGUUUCCUGGCCAAAGUCUUUGUGGUUCAUUGUGUAUAGAACCAUGUCAAAUACAAUUAGAGAUAGAUAAACUUCUUGGUUUCCUAUCUGUAUUCUUCUCAUUGCCUUCUCUUAUCUUAUUGCUUAACUAUAACUAAGACUUUAAUCUUUAUAUUGAACAAGAUGUGGAGAGUGGGAAUCCUUUCUUUGUUACUGGUCUUAGUGGGAAUCUUGUGAAUUUUUCUUUUUACUUAGUAUGAUGUUGACCAUAAGUUUGUCACACAUAGUCUUUCUAUAUUAGGUUGAGAUUUGUUUCUCUUAAUCCCUAGUCUAUUCAGGGUUUUUAUUGUGAAAGGAUUUUAAAUUUUGUCAGUGACCUUUUCUCUCAAAGCCCUAUUGAAAUAAUGAUGUGUUCUUGAGUUUGGUUUGCAUAUUAUUUCUAUUCAGAAUUUCCAUAUCUAUGUUAAACAAGGAGAUUGGGCCUUUAAUUUUCUUUCUUUCUUUCUUUCAUUUUUAUUUCUUUUUGUUGUACAUUUGUCUUGUUUUGAUAUCAGGAUAAUAAAAGCAUCAUUAAAAACAACUGGAAGUAUUACAGAAUAAUUUGAGGAUUAUUGACAUUGAUUUUUCUUAGAAGUCUGCACUGACUCCAUCUGGACUUUGUUUAAUUCAGAGAUUUUUAGUUACUGCUCAGUCUUGCUUGUUACAGAUUUGUUGAAGUUGUUUAUUUCUUCUUCUUCUACAGUGUUUUAAAUUUUCAUCUUGGGAUAAAUGUGGGUAGUCAUGUGCUUUAGAAAUUCAUCUAUUUCUUUCAUAUUUUCUAGUUCACUGGAAUAUAAAUUGUAUGGUGUGUUCUAUACAUAUUCUGGAUUUCUCUGGUAUUUGUGAAAAUGUCUUCCUUUUCUGCUCUUUUAUUAUCUUGGGAAUUUUUUGUGAAUUUGGCUAAAGAUCUGUCAAUCUUGUUUAUCUUUUCAAACAACAACUUUUCUGUCUGUCUGGUUCUUGGUACUUUUUGGUUUUUUUUUAUUUCGUUGCUUAUAUUUUGAUUUUAGUUAUUCCUCCCUGACUACUGAUUGAUGUUUUGUUUGUUCUUGUUUUCCCAGUGCCUUGAAGCAUUACCUUGUUUAUUUGCCAUCUCACUGGAUUUUUUUUUCUUUUUUUUUUUUUUUUUUGGUUCUUUUUUUUCGGAGCUGGGGACCGAACCCAGGGCCUUGCGCUUCCUAGGUAAGCGCUCUACAACUGAGCUAAAUCCCCAGCCCCUCUCACUGGUUUUUUUUUAAACUGUGCACUUUAAGCUUUCCUCUGAGGACUACCUUCAUUGUAUCCCAUGAGCUAAGAUAUUCUGUGUCUUUGUCUAUCCAAUUCUGGAAAUAUUUGAUUUCACUUUUUUUUCUUCUAUGACCUAUCGGUAUAAAUUUGUAGUAUUAUUCUAUUGUGUUCAUAUAGAAUGCAUGAAAUUACUUGAGUUCUUGUUUGUUGAAACGUAUUUAUAUUAUAAUGUAUGAUCUACCUUGACGAAAUUUCCAUGAGCUCCUGAGAAAAAUGUAUAUCAUGUGUGUUGGGUGGAAUAAUCGGUAGGUGUCUGUCAGGUUCAUUUGAGCUAUGAUUUUUUUAAAUUUAAGUUGUUUAUUUUUGGCUUUAAUUGUGUACUUAGACAAUUUCAAGUAUUAUUAAUUUAAUUUUUAAAAAUACCAUCUUAAUUUUAUUUACAAAAACUUAUGUAUUAAAUGACUUAAAUUUCUGAAUAGUUCUAGUAAACAUUUUUGAUUUCUACUCAUACUAUUUUUUGUAAUUACAGAACUGCAGGAUCCUUAUUCUGGAAAUUUCACAUGUCAAACUUCCUGACCCCUUUCCAACACCUUCCAUGCCCUGCUUCCAUCUCAAAUUCAUAACUUCUUAUUCUGAAGUUUUUACCGUUCGUAUGUACACACAUAUGCAUGCAUACACAGAUACACACACACACACACACACACACACACACACACACACACACACACGCUUGCUUAGUUCCUUUAGUGUUGUACUUUUAUGUCUGGUCAUUUGUGACUGGAUAACCAAUUAGAGGGCUCCUUCCAAUAUUGAUUCUCUGUCUCAGUGGUUAUUAUUUGCCUAUGGUUCCUCAUCUAGGAGCAGGAACUUGUGGGAUUUCCUAUAACCAUAUUGACAUGAUAAUUGUUCUGCUCUUGUUUAGGCAAUCAUACUGUUUGUUUGGUUGUUUGUUUUUUCAAAAUAGGAUUUCUCCAUGUAGCCCUGGCUGUUCUGGGACUUAGUCUGUAGACCAGAUCUUUAACUCUGGGGUCUGCCUGCUUCUUCCUCCCAAGUGCUGUGAAGAAAGGCUUGUGCCACCAUGCCUGGCUUGACAACCGUAUUACUGAGAGGUCACAGGUGUAGGUCUCCUGUCAUAUAUAGAAAACACUAUCUUAGAGUAGAUUUCCAUGUCCUCUCAUUCUCACAAUCUCUCCCCUCCUGUUUCCACAGUGUUCCCUGAGCCAUAGGUGUACAGUUUGUGCUGUAGGUAUAUCAGGUGGGACUGGACACGCUAAAGUCUGUUGUUCUUUCCAUUUUGAACAGUUGUAGCUUUCUGCAAUAAUCUCCAUCUGCUGCAUAAUGAAGGCUCUUUGUUGAGGGAUGAGAGAUACACACGCUGGUGAAUAUAGGCACAGGAAUGAAAUUGGAAACUAUCUUGGUUUAGGAAAGUGGCCUAAGGAGGUUCACCUCUAGCAUCCAUGGCCUCAUCAGCCACGGGUAGUUAGCUAGAUUUACAGUACCAAGCAUGCAUUUUCUGCUAGAGCAGGCUAUAAGUUCAAUUAGAUGGCUAUUGAUUACCUCCAAUAUACAAGUGCCAGUAUUGCACCUCUGGAAAUACUUUGCCAUGGUGAUCAUCGUGGUGGUUGAUAGGUGUUACACACAUGGAUAGGACUGCUGAUUCCUUUCUUCCCUUCCCAGCUUUCAUAGCACCUUCUGACACUCAGAUAUAAACUACUCCUCAGGGAGGAGACUUCUAAAUCAAGUCUAGCUCAAUUCCUUCAGCUCAUGUAUGUGGUGUUUUCAGUAGUAGGGGCUUACAUUCAAUAACUGGAAAGCAACCAAGGGUAGCAGCAAUAGAUUGUAAUGCUUGAGAGUCUCUUGGAUUAUCAUGAUUGACAACUUGAAGGAUGGUUUCACAUCCUAACACUAGGGCUUUUGUUAUAUAAUCUGUGUCUCUUUGAGAAACAUUAUUAUGACGUGUCAUAACUUCAUGUGUGUGUAUGCAUAUAUAUUUACAUGUAUUUUAUAUAAUUUUAAUGUUAUUUAAUCCCAGUGCUUUUCUGUUUAUCUUUGUUCAAUAGAUCUGCCUCUGGAAACAGGUGUUAAAGUCACAAACUUUUAUUUUGUUGGAAUUAAUCCAUGACUUUAAACGUAGGAAUACUUGUUUAAUCAAAUUGGGUGAGCCUUGUAUUUAAUCUGCAUAGAUUUAGGACUCUGAAUUUUUUCUUCAUGGAUUGUUCCUUUGAUCAUGAAGUGACUCCCACCCUUUAACCUUUAAAGACUAGAUUUGAAGUUUUUAAAAUUGGUAUUAGAAUAGCAAUCCCUGCGUAUUUGUUGUGGUUGUUGUUGUUCCCAUUUGGUUGGAAGACCCCUUUUCCAUCCUUUCCCCUAAGAAAGCAUUUAUUUCGUUCCCUAGAGGCAGUUUAAUUAAACAUCUUGUUUUGUUCUUUCAGAUUUAUUUUAUUUUAAAUUAUUUGCAUGCUUGUGUCUCUGUGUGGGUGUGUACAUGUGAGUGAGGUGUCUACGGAGUCCAUAAUAAGACAUCACAGAUCCCCUGGAUUUGAAGUUAGAGAGAACCCUGAGUCACUUGACGUGGGUGCUUAGAAUUGAUCUUAGGUGCUCUUCCUUCCUCCCUCCCUCCCUCCCUCCCUCCUUUCUUUCUCUCUUUCUUUCUUUCUUUCUUUCUUUCUUUCUUUCUUUCUUUCUUUCUUUCAAAUCUAGUCUGUUAGUCAUAUCAUUUUAUAAGGUAAUUGAUACUAUUAGUUGACUUAUUAUUACAAGGUCUGUAUUGAUUGAUCCCUCUCUUUGUUGACAUGUAGUUUGUGGGUGUUUUCUUAUUCGUAUUUUGUCUAAUAACUAUUUUAGUCUUGUUUAUUAUUUUCCCUGUGGCCUGUGAGUCUAUUAUCUUUUUCUUCAGUCCAAAAUAUUCUUUUGAGUGUGGACUGCAAUGUCAACUUGGUUGUCGGUACUUUCCUGACUUCGGCUAUGGUAGUUUUUCUGACUAUAUUGGGUUGAUUUUUGACAUCGUUAUCUUUCAGAAUCUGAAAUACACUUUUCCAAGCCCUUCUGGUUUCUAGGGUUUCCAUUGAGAAGCGGCAGUUAUUCUGAUGGACUUACUUUUAUAUGUGACUUGUCCCUUCUCUCUCAUAUAUUUCAAUAUAUUUUCUUUGAUCUAUUUAUUUAGUGUUUCAACUAUGAAGUGAUAAGAGGGUUUCUUUCUGAUCUUCUCUGUUUGGAGUUCCUGUGAGCCACUUGUGUUUGGAUGGGCAUAUCUUCUAGAUUUGGGGAAUUCUCCUCUGUGGUUUUAUUGAAAGCAUUUCUAUUCCCUUGGCACAAUUUUGUUUUGUUUUUCUUCUAUGACUAUACUUUUAAAUGCUUUGCCUCUUGUGCUAUUCUAAAUAUGAUAUAUGUUUUUUCACAAACUUUUAGAAACUUAUCAAUUACCUUACCAUGUAAUGCAAUUCGUCUUCAAGCUCUGAGAUACUGUUCUCCAUACAAUCCAUUGUAUUUAUGAGGAUUUAUAUAAAACUUCUUUGAUACAUUAUAUAUUUCAUUGUAACCAUUUCAAUUUGUUUUUCUUUAGAAUUUCUAUCUCUCUUUUUAUAGAUUUUGUGAAAUUAUUUAUUUUCUAAAAUAUUUUCUUAAAAUAUUUGUUUUUAUUGGAUAUUUUAUUUAUUUACAUUUCAGAUGUUACCCCCUUUCCCAGUUUCCCCUCCUAAAACCCCCUAUCCCAUCCCCCCUCCCCUUGCUUCAAUGAGGGUGCUCUACACCCACCCACCCACUCCCACCUCAGUGCUCUGGCAUCCCUCUACAACGGGGCAUCGAGUCUUCACCGGACCAAGAGUCUCUCCUCUUAUUGAUGUCAGACGAUGCCAUUCUCUGCUACAUAUGCAGCUGGAGUCAUGGAUCACUCCAUGUGUACUCUUUGGUUGGUGGUUUAGUCUCUGGGAACUCUGGGGGCGUCGUCUGGUUGGUUGAUAUUAUUGUUCUACCUAUGGGGUUGCAAACCCCUUCAGCUCCUUCAGUCCUUUCUCUAACUUCUCCACUGGGGUCCCCAUGCUCAGUCCAGUUGGCUGCAAACAUCCAUCUCUGUAUUUGUCAGGCUCUGGCAGAGCCUCUCAGGAGACAGCUUUAUCAGGCUCCUGUCAGCAAGUACUUAGUGUCUGGGUUUGGUGGUUGCAUAUGGGCUGGAUCCCCAGGUGGAGCAGUCUCUGGAUGGCCUUUCCUUCAGUCUCUGCUCCACACUUUGUCCCCACUCUUCUCAUAUCACAAAUUGACUUCUUUUAUCUGGAUGUUUAUUUUAUUACUUUGGAAUGUAUUUCUGCAUUUUUGAAAUAGUCCAACAUAAUCAUAAACAUAUAUUUGAAUUGUGUGUCUAGGAUUUUGUCUGUUGGGUAAUUGGAAGUUAUUAUUAUGGGAUUAGUUAAUUUUGGUCGAGACAGGUUAUGAUUGUAUUAUGCUUCUGACAUGUGCUUGUUUGUGUGUAUAUUUGUGUGUGUGUGUGUGUGUGUGUGUGUGCAUGAGAGAGAGAGAGAGAGAGAGAGAGAGAGAGAGAGAGAGAGAGAAGGAGAGAGACUUGUGAUUAGAUCAUUGGUUAAGUUUAUUGUACUUUAAAUCAGGUUACUUUUUGACUUUUGGUGGCAGCAUUUGCAGUGUAGCACUAAGUUAUAGUAUGGCCUGUGCAAUGUUUUCAUCCUUUAGACAGGUCAGUGUAUUAGGCUCUGUCUCUACACUUGCCACUGCAAGUCGAAUAACUGUCCAGCUAUACAGCCUACUCUGGAAUUACAGUACUAGUUGGCUACAGAAGUGUCAUUCCUUAAGUAGUAAUUAUUUGGAGGAAAAAAGGGGCACCGGCAGUGCUGUGUGCACUACUAUAAAUAAGUGAAUAACAUCUCUUAAACCUAUGAAUAUAAAUUCCUCUCAAUUAAGAUUUAAAGGAAAUUUUAAAAAAUACUAUUUUCAUAUUUCCCUGAAAAGAAAAAGUAGAAGUAUUUCUCUACAUUAGUAGUUUUAAAAUUAUUGGUUUUAGUGCCCAAUGCACUUUUGAAUUGGGGCAGGGAAGGCAAGUUUUAAGUGUAUUUUAUAAUGACAUUUAUAGCUUGGAAAUAUUCAAAAUGUUCACCAGUUAGUUUAAAAUUACAUUACUUUGUACCAAAAAUGACUGUUAGGAUGGCCAGCAAAAGGCCCGUACAUGAGUAUCAUAAUCAUAACAGCCACAUUGCAUAGUAGCCAAGGAUCUAUGAGCUUCUGAAAGGAUAAAUAAAACCAUUUGUUUCUGUAUCAUGAAAUGUUCCGUUAAAAUGAAUGCUGUGCUCUUCCAUAGCGUGAUGCUAAAUAAAAGAAGUCAGACACAAAAGCCCACAUAUCAUUUGCUUAGAUAAGCAGAAUGUCCAGAUAGUAAGAGAGAAGUAAAUCACUGCCAGAGUCUGGGAAGGGAGAGAAGUAGGAAAUGCUAUGAAUGGAUACAUAGUUUCUAUGUUAAAUUAGAUAAUGGUAAUGUAUGAUUUUGUGAAUAUAUUUAACAUCAUUAGAUUGUUUUCUUUAUAAUGGUGAACUUUAUAGUAUGCCAGUUUUAAGUCAAUAAGCAUAUAGGGGUUUUGCUUUUAAGCAUAAAUUAUGUUUUUAUUAAAUAUUACUGUAUUUCUAAAUUUAAAAAAAUCAGAGGUGUAUUGCCUACACUUUAUUUUGCAAGUCUAUUUUAUAUUAACUGAAAACAAUCAGAUUCUUUUGCUAGUUUCAGCAAUAAAUAUAUUGUGUUUAUGCAAUUUUGGUUGAUCUAUAAAAACAUCAGACCUCAUAAAGUAAUAUAGUCAGAAAAUAGAGGAGGAUUAUAAUGAGUUACUCAUACAAUUGUGGGACAUUUUCUCUGACGUAUUAGUAUUUUGCAUGUGGUGGUUCUUAAGUGAAGUUGACAUUUAUGCCCUCACAUCUCUAAGUGACUUUGAUUUAGCUACGACUGCUGAUAGGCUGAACUGGACAGGGAUGACAGAUCACUCACUCUCAGUGACUGACAGCAGAAAGAAGUAGAUUCUCAGCAGGCUAGAGGGCCUUAAUUUUCUUUGGAGGACCUCUCCAUGCGCCCUUACUUUCUUAUAGGAUGCUAGAUAGAUUCCAGAAAGUUUUCCAGUAACAAGGCGAAAUCUGUAGAUGUUGUAAGGCCUUUCAGAAGUUAGUGUUAAUUUCCCCACAUUCUGUUGAACAGAACUGUAGCAUUUGCCAAGAUUUGUGGGCAGAACAAAUAAACUCCACGUUUUAAAACUGAGAAAUUGUCAAGUCAUAUGCAGCUAUGCUCCACUGUAAACCUCCUCUGACAUUUCAAAUGCUAUGAGCAUGUGGGCGCUUGGUAAAUAUUAUGAUUAGAUGUUGUUUUUAUACUGUUGCAACUUAUGCUUUGAAAUUAAAAGCAUCUCUAAUUGUACUUUGUUUGACUUAUUUAAAGUUUAUUGCUAAACAGAUAAAUGUAAUGAGAAUGGAGUGUUUUACAGCAUUUUAUUAUCCACCCAUCCCCUUUAAUUUGUGACAUUAUGGUUUACUUUGUUGUUUAUAUUUAAUUACCUAAGAACAAUCUCUUUCAAUGUAAUAAUAAAGAGUACAAUAUAAAUAGAAUAUUGAGUGUGUGUCUCAAUGUCGGUGUGUUGUGCUUAGAAUAAACAUCUCCAGUUCCCGCAGUGUUGAUUCUGCAAGAGAGACUUGGCUUUGCUUUGAAAGGUUAUCUAUCAGUAAUAGUUACAAGAAGAUACACCAGGGCUUAAUCCACGUAGCAACUUAAUUAUAACCCUUGGAAGACAUUAAAGUUACAAUAAAUUAAAGAAAUUGUAUUUCAUAAUUUGAAGACCACAAAAGGGUGAGAAAAAAAAUCUUUCAAACCAGCUUACGAUCUUCUUAUUGCUUUUCAUACACCCUGAAUUUAAAAUGCCUAUGAAAUGCCUUCCUGUUUCCUGUAAGGGUCUCUGGAAGAGGUGAUAUUGUAUGAGGGCCCAGGUGAGAAAUUCUUGUUAUUAAGCAUUUCUGUAAUUGGGAGAUUGUGAUGGUUAUCAAAGCAUACUAAAAGCACCAUUCUUUCAGCUGCCCUUACAAGUUGCCUCUGGAAAUCUGCUUUGAAAUUGCUUUCUGAAAGGCCUAUUCAGGGUGCAUUGAAAAUUAAGGUUUUUCUCCGUAGCAAAAUGGCAGUGUGUCUGCUAGUGGAUGUGUUAGGUUAGAUGUACCUGCUGUUACUGAUCAGGAUAAGUAAUGCACCGUGCUUCUUCCUGUAAGCAAAAUCAGGAAACUAAAACUUGAUUGACAGACUGUCAUAUUGAGAAUCUUAAAGCUACAUUUAUUUAAAAUUAUUUGGUGGAAUGACAUUGUAUAACUUGGAUUCUAUUGUUGAAAACCUCGCUGCAGCACUGCUGUCAGCUCACAGCACCACAACAUAAUUGGUCUUUGAGACAGCAAAUUGCCUUACGCUAGGGUAAUGAGUGUCCCUCAGGAACCCUCUGGCUAUUUUAGUCACAUGUGACAACCUGGGAUGUAGACUUCCAGCAUUCUUCAGAAGAUGCUACAGAAUGAUAAGGCAAUAUUUCGGCUAACCGUUUGCUGGCAACUAAUUAUUCAUUGUGUAAGUUUACAGAUUAGAUGCGAGGAGAGCCCAUGCUCUAUGGAGUGUAAAAAGAGCAGCCCUGGUGACUCACAGGCUCUUUGAAGAUUGCGUAAUCCUUCCAGAAAGCCAGGAGCAGUCCCCAGGUGGUUCUUUGGUUCUCUGAGUGCCCAUAUUUCCUUCCAUUGUAUUUUUGUGAGCUAUAUAGUUGGGCCUUUACUAGUUAGUUUUGGUUGCCAGUCUCUUGGGAGAGUUCAUAGUUCAGUGAAAGUGCUCUCUGUAAGUUUUCUUGUAUGUAAAUAAUUUCAUGAGGCUUACAUGGGUUUGAGGAAGGUCACCUCCACACAGAAGACAGGCGGCUCACUCUGUAUCUGGUAUUCCACUCAUUCCCCAGUACCACACUUUUAAGUAACACUUAAAAGACCCUUUAUCCUCCCUUUGCCAAUUUUCAGUUCUCCGCUCAUGCCAAAACUAACUUCUGUUUAUCUCCUGCUUUAUAUUCCUAGAGCAACUAGACUUAAUUAGUUUGUAAUUGGGCAUUAGCCAUUCCGUUCUUUUUUUUACACAUUCCAUCAUUUAUUGAUUCUCCUAUUCAAUAAGCAUGUAUGCUUCUUGCAUAAUUCUUAAUGCAAGAUCUUUAUUCCCAUGAUGAAGAUGAGAAUUAUAUUCAAUUUUGACCAUCUCGGUGAGGCACAUAAAGAAAAAAUAAUCAUAGCACAAAGCGCCACAUACAGCGUAGCACCCCUGGAGAUCACUACUGUGAUUUCCUCAAAUGAACUCUAUUCCAUAGAAAGAUUAUUUUCAAUGUGUUUGUUGAAUGAAGAUGUGGGAAAUAGGGAUCCAGCUUGGCGGGUGGACAUAGUUUUGAACGUGCAAAAAAUGAUGCCGAAUUGCUUUUGUGUUAAAAGGAAGUAACUUAGGAAAACACAAGGGUAAUUGAGUUUAGAGGAUUUCAACAGAGUUCAUUCUAAGAUUAAGAAGCAAUAGAAAAAAUUUUAUUUGAUUAAAAUCAUGCCAGCAUAUUCAGAUACAGAAAACUGCCUUGAUGUGUCUGUUGUCAUGAUGUUUGUUCUGAUUUUCCUUUGGCUACUGAGGUCCAUCUGAGUUGUUAUUCCACUAUAUUCCAAUUUUUUUCACAAUAGUACAUAGAAAUUAUCAUAACAAACUCUUGAUCAUAUUUCACCAGAUAAGCUUGUUUAUGAAUUGAUUAUAAAACCCCGGUGAAAAUUCAAAUUCAUAGGAGUAAUCGAAAAUGCACAUUGAACAAAAAUGCAAAUUACACGAGGUCUGACACUUGGAGCUUCAUAAUAACCAGUAUGCUCCACCUUUUCUCUACUGUACUAUGGACAUAUGAUCUGCCUCUGAGGAAAACAUUUUAUUAAAAGAUCCAGUGUACUGGGUUGUAGUUCUUAUUUAAGUGUGUAUGGUGUAUUGAGCUCUAUCUCCAGUACCACCCACACAAAUAUAUUCCCGUGUCUCAUACCUGUCACGUUCAAGUUAACACAUAUCAUUACCUCAGAAUUUCAUCUACCAGAAAGACUAACCUGUGAUUGGUUAGAUGUCUUCUAGAGUGGUGGCAGAGAAUGCCAGGACUCUAAUGUACUUGCUCCCUAUUUGUAAAGCCCUCUGGUUUUGUAUAAAGCUAGGUUUACUCUGUGAAGGAAUUUGCCCUUCACUAAUGUUAGAAAUAAAGACAAAUUCUGAAAGAAGCCACCCUCCAAACCAACCAACCAACCAAUCAACCAACCAACCAAACAACCAACCAACCAAACCAACCAACCAAACCAACCAAACAACCAAACAAACAACCAAACAACCAAACCAACCAAACGAACCAACCAACCAACCAACCAAACAACCAACCAAACAACCAAACAACCAAACAAACAAACAACCAAACCAACCAACCAACCAAUCAACCAAACAAACAAACAAACAACCAAACAACCAAUCAACCAACCAACCAAACAAACAAACAUAAACAAAUAAACAGGAUAACCACAAAGCAUCCCUUUUGUUUACAGUUGGAGUUUUGUACAUGAGAAUACUUGAGAGUGUUUCCUUUUCCAUUCAUCAGCAUCUUGACAAUAAGCCCACCAUGUUUGUGAAUAGGAGUUUGAACAAAGGAAAAAAAAACCCUCAAAGAAUGUAAAGUCAGUGGUGACAUUGCAAUUAUCCUCCUGUCUUCCAGCAGUUUGAGUCAUCUGAUUUCUUGGAUAAAUCUUCCUUUUUUGUAAUACUUCUGUGCUUUAGAGUUUCAUUAUUUUGAAGUGUUUUUUCUCUAUUUAAAGUAACCUGUUUUGUAUUAUUUUUAAUAUAAAAAUAAACAUAAGCAAAACCCACCAUAGGUCUGUGGUUUAAUAGCUAUCUUCCUCAAAUUCUUUCACAGAUCCUCGGGCUGCUAUAAGCCCAGAAUGAAAUCCAUUAUUAGAAUGCUCCCUGUGCCAGGUUUUUAUUUCUAAUAUGUUGUUUAUUUUUUAAUCAUCUUUUGAAUUAUUGACUAUUUUAUGGUGUCUUAUAACAGCAAUUUCUAUUUGUUUUAUGUACUUUGUAUGGCAGAUUUCAUUUUCUGCCUCACUCCAUUAUAUGUAAUGGCUUAGCUUUGAAGUUUUUGCUUGAUAUAAGGGGGUGUUAAUUUGCUUUAACACGUUAUUGUCUAAAAUAGUUCAGGUUCUGUAAAAGCUUUAUCUUGAAACACUCUGAAAGGUACUUUCUUUUUUAUUCUCGUGUUCAUAAAAGAUGCUUGUAAUUCCCCCCUUGUAUUCUUGACGCAUGCUGAGAUAUUAAAGGGCUGCUGGCUGGCUCUGCUAGAUAAUGUUGAAAUGCAUAGACUUAGAUUUCAAAGCAAUUGUUACAUUUCCCUGUGAGUCUUCUUCCAAUAUUUUAUUACCACUCUGGUUCUUUUAAACAGAGCUUUCUAGCACUUGUGUUGUUUCUAAUUGUCUCCUAAUUGUUUCUUUUUUUCCCCCCACACUUUAACUCCCAAGAACAACCUAUCUAUUUCCUCUGGACUUUGCUGCAAUUUUUAACCGAUGCCCUAGAGUACUGUGUCCUUUCUUAUUCUUGCUAGUUCUUCUCCAGUGAGUCCUCACCAGAAGGCUGCUGUAUUCUUGAGAGAGGUAUUCUUAGAAUGGAGUGCCGAGUGGAUGGGCAGGAGUCAAGAGUGCAGUGACAGCAGUAAUUCCACUCCAAUUAGAUCUUAAAAUGGAUUGCUUCAUAGGCUAGCAGGGAUGGGUGUCCCAUGGGAUUUUGUUUCUCAGUACUAAGUUGCUAGAGGAGGUGAUAUAGAACAGGAAAAAUCCAAGAAUAGGAAAAUUGAGAUGAUUUUGGUGGUCCUUAAGAUGGUGACCAUGUAAAUAUUAAUCUCUUUUUGCUGAACAUCAUACUUCAUUUGCAAAGUUAAGACUUUUAUGCAAUACUCACCUUGAAUAUGUAUCAGUUGAUUUCAUUGUUAAUAUAUUGGCUUCCUUUUUCUUCAAAUGACCACAAGGAAAGUGUCAUCUUACAAUACAUCUUUAUUUUCUUUCUUUCUGUGAUUCGAAAGUCUUAACUGAGUGUCUCACAGGCUAUGGUCAAGGUCCCAGCCACGGCUAUAGAUUUUCCUCUGGAGGCAGAACUUGGUGAUGAUGUGCUGCUGUCUUGUUUCUGUUGCUUUGUUUUGUUCCUCUUGAUGGAACUACUCAGUUACUUGUGAUUGGUCGACUGAGAUUGCUGACUGACCACUCUCCACAGCUGUUCUUGGUCUUAAGGCUGCCUCAGCUUCUUGCCACACGCAUUUUCCAAUAUGGCUGCAUGCUUCCUCCAGGCCAUCACUGGGCAACAGAAAGACUCCUGAAACCCAGAUCCUACAAGUUUACAUAAUGAACACAUGUUUUUCCUGCUUUAUAAUUAUCUACGUCCUAUCAUCUUUCCAAUGCUCUGUUUCUUAGAAGCAAAUACCUGAUGAUUCCUAUGCCCAACAGGAAAGGAACCUGUAAGAAAUGGAGGUAGGAAUCAGGUGAGGGAGUCUUUGAAAGGAUUUCUCUAUGGGCCAGUAUUGCUAUUUGUCCUCCAAUACCUCUUUUCCCCUUUCAACCCAAAAGUAGAUUACAUAGAUCACCAGAAAUAAAAACUUUAUUACUCAGCUUCUCUUCUAGGUUUGACUGUGCAGUGAAGCAAGGAGGCAAGUAAAGAGACCCAGACAGCUGGGGUUGCAGGCUUUCCAACGUCCUCCUCACUUCUUCAGUGUGAGAGGAAAAGAAAGCUUAUAUUAAACUUUAAAACAUCAUUUGAACAUGAAUAUGUUUUUCAUUAAACUUGUCCCCACCCCCUAUCUACCAGAAAACCGUUUUUGUCCCUCUCCUUUCCAUUGGUUUCUUUUGUUCUCCACACAAUCUCACUUCUGCUUUAAUGCUAUAUAUGACUUAAUGUGGCUUUAUAAAAUCUAGAAACCACAAUGAGAGAAAACACAGAUUUGUUUUUCUGAAAGUGGUUUAAUUUGCUUAAUACAAUCAUCCCCAAUUGCCUCCAUUUUCCUGAAAGCAAUGUAACUGUAUUCUUCUUUGCUGUUAGCAUAUUUCAUUGUAUGCACAUACCACAUUUUCUUUGUCCAUUUGUCUGUUGAUAGCCAAUGAGGUUCAUUAUGCAAUAAACAUAGAUACACAAGUAUCUUUCCAAUGUGUUGACUAGAAGUCCUUUGAGUGACUGCUGAGUAGUAUAGCUGUGUCAUAUAGUAGGUCUCUUCUCAAGUUUUAAAGAAAUCUCCUCACCAAAUUCCAUAAAGGUUGGAGUAACUGAUGGUGCCAUCAGGAGUGUAUGACACCACGAGUGUGUACCAGACACUUUCUUGAGUUCCUCAAUUGAUGUCCAGAUCUAUGAAAGUGUUGUCUUGUCCUGAAUAUAUCACUUGACCAGGAGCCAUCAAGCUGUGAGGCAAGAGCUGGCCUCUUCAGCUCCCUGUUUCCAUCAGGCUAAGGUCUCUUUACAACCUUGUGGGCACAAACAGUGUUUCUUACCAUUUUUCAUUGGAAGAGGUUCUUAAGGAAUUCGAAGUGACCUCUAAGUGCAACUUAAAUAUAACUAGAACAUCCUGUUGUGUGACUCAAGGCUGUCAAGUAUGGCGUUGGCCAGUCUAAUAACAGUGAAUUAGAAGCUUGCUGAGAAAUUGUUCUUGUUUAUAACAAUAAUUCUUUGAAAUCUAUGUUUUCCAUUUUAGUUUUUUAAAAAUUUUUAUUUAAUUUCCUUUUUACACUACAGGUUUUAUCAUCCUCCCAAUACAUCCUCUGAGUGUUCCACAUUCCAUACUGUUCCCCUUGUCUCCAUGAGAAUGCCCCACCCCACAACCCCCUCCCCUGCCAGACCUCACCACUCUUUAGGGUGUCCAGUGUCUUGAGGCUUAGGUGCACUUUUCUGACUGAACCCAGACGGGAUAAUCCUCUGCUGUAUAUGUGUUGGGGGCCAUAUGUGAUAUGAGUAUCAGCUGGUGUAUGCUGCCUAGUUGGUGGUCUAGUAUCUGAGAGAGCCUAGGGGUUCAGGUUAAUUGGGAAUGCUGGUCCUCCUACAGGGUUUCCCCUCCUCCUCAGCUUUUCCCUAAUUCAACCACAGGGGUCACCAACUUCUGUCCAUUGAUUGGGUGUGAAUAUCUGCAUCUGAUUCUUUCCACUGCUUGUUAAGUCUUUCGGAGGACAGUCAUGGUAGGACCCUUUUUGUGUGCACUCCGUAGCCUAUGUAAUAGUGUCAGGUCUUGGGGCCUCCCCAUGAGCUGGAUCACACUUUGGGCCUGUUGCUGGACCUCCUUUUCCUCAGGCUCUUCUCCAUUUUUGUCCCUGCAGUUCUUUUAGACAGGAACAAUUAUGGGACAGAGUUUUUGACUAUGAAAUGGCAACCUCAUCCCUCACUUGAUGCCCUGUCUUUCUGCUGGAGAUGGGCUCUACAAGUUCCCUCUCCCCACUGUAAGGCAUUUUAUCUAAGGUCCCUCCCUUUGAGUCCUGAGAGUCUCUCUCUUCCCUGGUCUCUGGUACAUUUGCAGGGCCCUCCAUCUUCUGCCUCCCAAGGUUGCCUGUUUUCAUUCUUUUUGCUGACCUUAGGGCUUCAGUUCUUUUCUGCCAACCAAUAUCUGACCAUGUUCCUCUCUUCCCCUUCCUGUCCUGUAUCCCAUCCAGGACCCUCCCUCCCCACUCUGGUGAUUGAUUUCUUCUCACCCCCAAGUGGGAUUGAGCCAUUCUCACUUGGACCCUUCUGCUUGUUAAACUUUUUGAGUUCUGGGGACUGCAUCCUGGGUAUUCUAUACUUUUUUUGGCUAAUAUCCACUUAUUAGUGAGUGGAAUCACUAAUACCAUGUGUGACAUUUUGUGUCUGAGUAACCUCACUUAAUAUGAUAUUUUCUACUUCCAUCCAUUUGCCUGCAAAACUCAUGAUGCCCUUGUUCUUAAUAGCUUAAUAGUAUUCCAUUGUGUAAAUGAACCACAUUUUCUGUUUCCAUUCUUCUGUCUUGGGACAUUUGGGUUGUUUCCAGCUUCUGGCUAUCAAAAAUAAGGCUGGUAUGAACAUAGUGGAACACAUGCCCCUGUGGCCUGGUGGGACAGCUUUUGGGUAUAUGCCCAAGAGUGGUAUAGCUGGAUAUUCAGGUACAUCUACAUCCAAUUUUCUGAGGAACCUCCAGAUUGAUUUCCAGAGUGGUUGUAUCAGUUUGCAAUUCCACCAGCAAGGGACCAGUAUUACUCUUUCUCCAAAUCCUGACCAGCAUGUGUUGUCACCUGAGGUUUUGAUCUUAGUCAUUCUGAUGGGUGUAAGGUGGAAUCUAAAGGUUAUUUUGAUUUGCCUUUCCCUGAAUCUGUAAGGACUUUGAGCAUUUCUUUCUUUCUUUUUGUUGGAUUUUUUUUAUUUUAUAUUUUCAAAUGUUAUUCCCUUUCUCAGUUUCCUGUCCAUAAGCCCCUGAUCCCAUUCACCUCCCCAUUCUUUUAUGAGGGUAUUCCCCCUCCCAACCACCCCCUUCUUGAAUCCCCACCCUGACAUUCCCCUACACUGGGGGGGGGUUCAGUCUUGGCAGGACCAAGGGUUUCUCCUCCUAUUGUUGCCUAACAAGGUCAUCCUCCGCUGGAGGAUGCAUAUGCAGCUCCAGCCAUGGGUCUGUCCAUGUGUACUCUGAUGGUGGCUUAGUUCCUGGGAGCUCAGGUUGGUUGGUAUUGUUGUUCUUAUAGGGUUGCAGGCCCCUUCAGAUCCUUCAAUCUUUUCUCUAACUCCUUCAAUGAGGACCCCCAUUCUCAGUUUAAUGGUUGGCUACUAGCAUUUGCCUUUAUAUUUGUCAUGCUCUGGCUAAGCCUCCCAGGAGAUAGCUAUAUCAGGCUCCUGUCAGCAUGCACUUCUUGGCUUCAUCGAUAUUGUCUAGGUUUGAUGGCUUUAUAUAUAUAUGGGCUGGAUCCCCAGGUGGGGCAGGCUCUGAAUCGCUAUUCCUUUAGUCUCUGCUCCAAACUUUGUCUGCAUAUCUCCUUCUAUGAAUAUCUUGUUCCCCCUUUUAAGAAGUACUGAAGCAUCCACACUUUGGUCAUCCUUCUUCUUAAACUUAAUGUGGUCUGUGGAUUGUAUCUUACGUAAUUCGAGCUUUUGGGCUAAUAUCCACCUAUCAGUGAGUGCAUACAUGUGUAUUUUUUUUUUUUGUGAUUGGGUUAGCUCACUCAGGAUGACAUUUUCUAGUUCCAUCCAUUUGCCUACGAAUUUCAUAAAGUCAUUGUUUUUGAUAUCUGGGUAAUAUUCCAUUGUGUAGAUGUAUCACAUUUUCUGUGUACAUUCCUCUUUUGAAGGGCAUCUGGGUUCUUUCCAGCUUCUGGCUAUUAUAAAUAAGGCUGUUAUGAACAUAGUGGAGCACGUGUCUUUUUUAUAUGUUGGGGCAUCUUUUGGGUAUAUGCCCAGGAGUAGCUGGGUCUUCAGGCAGUUCAAUGUCCAAUUAUCUGAGGAACCUCCAGACUGAUUUCCAGAAUGGUUGUAACCAACUUGCAAUCCCACCAACAAUGGAGGAGUGUUCCUCUUUCUCCACAUCCCCGCCAGCAUCUGCUGUCAUCUGAGUUAUUGAUCUUAGCCAUUCUGACUGGUGUGAGGUGAAAUCUCAGGGUUGUUUACAUUUUCAUUUCUCUGAUGACUAAGGAUGUUGAAUAUUUCUUUAGGUACUUCUCAACCAUUCGAUAUUCCUCAGCUGAGAAUUCUUUGUUUAGCUCUGUAUCCAUUUUUUAAUAGAGAUUUUUGGCUUUCUGGAGUCUACCUUCUUGAGUUCUUUAUAUAUUUUGGAUAUUAGCCCUCUAUAGUAUGUAGGAUUGGUAAAGAUCUUUUCCCAAUCUGUUGGUUGCCAUUUUGUGCUAAUGACACUGCCUUUGCCUUACAGAAGGUUUGCAGUUUUAUGAGAUCCCAUUUGUUGAUUCUUGAUCUUAGAGCAUAAGCCAUUGCUGUUCUAUUCAGGAAAUUUUCCCCAGUGCCCAUGAGUUCAAGGCUCUUCCCCACUUUUUCUUCUAUUAGUUUGAGUGUAUCUGGUUUGAUGUGGAGGUCCUUGAUCCACUUGGACUUAAGUUUUGUACAGGGAAAUAAUAAUGAAUCAAUUUGCAUUCUUCCACAAGUUGACCUCCAGUUGAAUCAGCACCAUUUGUUGAAAAUGCUAUCUUCUUUCCACUUGAUGGUUUUAGCUCCUUUGUCAAAGAUCAAGUGACCCUAGGUGUGUGGGUUCUUUCUGGGUCUUCAAUUCUAUUCCAUUAAUCUACCUGCCUGUCUCUGUACCAAUACCAUACAGUUUUUUUCACUAUUGCUUUGUAUUACUGCUUGAGGUCAGGGAUAGUGAUUCCCCCAGAAGUUCUUUUAUUGUUGAGUAUAGUUUUCACUAUCCUGGGUUUUUUUAUUCCAUAUGAAUUUUCAAAUUGCUCUUUCUAACUCUGAAAAAUUGAGUUGGAAUUUUGAUGGGGAAUGCAUUGAAUCUAUAGAUUGCUUUUGACAAAAUGGCCAUUUUUACUAUAUUAAUCCUGCCAAUCCAUGAGCAUGGGAUUUCUUUCUAUCUUCUGACAUCUUCAAUUUCUUUCUUUAGAGACUUGAAGUUCUUGUCUUACAGAUCUUUCCCUUGCUUGGUGAGAGUCACACUGAGGUAUUUCAUGUUAUUUGUGAGUAUUGUGAAGGGUGUUAUUUCCCUAAUUUCUUUCUCAGCCUGUUUAUCCUUUGAGGAGAGGAAGGCUACUGAUUUGUUUGACUUAAUUUUAUACCCAGCCACUUUGCUGAAGUUGUUUAGCAGGCUUAGUAAUUCUUGGAUGGAACUUUUGGGGUCACUUAAGUAUGCUGUCAUAUCAUCUGCAAAUAGUGAUAUUUUGACUUCUUCUUUUCCAGUUUGUAUCCCUGUGAUCUCCUUUUGUUGUCUGAUUGCUCUGGCUAGAACUUCAAGAACUAUAUUGAAUAAGUAGGGAGAGAGUGGGCACCCUUGUCUAGUCCCUGAUUUUAGUGGGAUUGCUUCAAGUUUCUGUCCAUUUAGUUUGAUGUUGCCUACCAGUUUGCUGUACAUUCUUUUUACUAUGUUUAGGUAUGGGUCUUGAAUUCCUGAUCUUUCCAAGACUUUUAACAUGAAGGGGUGUUGAAUUUUGUCAAAUGCUUUCUCAGCUUCUAAUGAGAUGAUCAUGUGUUUUUUUUUUUCUUUGAGUUUGUUUACAAAGUGGAUUACAUUGAUGGAUCUCCAUAUAUUGAACCUUUCCUGCGUCCGGGGGAUAAAGCUAUUUGUUCAUGAUGGAUGACUGUUUUGAUGUGUUCUUGGACUUGGUUUGUGAGAAUUUUAUUGAGUGUUUUUGCAUGGAAAUUCAUAAGAGAAAUUGGUCUGAAGUUUCCUUUCUUUGUAGGGUCUUUGUGUGGUUUAGGUAUAAGCAUAUUUGCACCUUCAUAGAAGGAAUUUGGCAGUGUUCCUUCUGUUUCUAUUUUGUGGAAUAGUUUGGACUGUAUUGGCAUUAGGUCUUCUAUGAAUGUCUGAUAGAAUUCUAUGGGAUCUGAUAGACACCCAUCUAGUCAUGGGCAUUUUUGAUUGAGAGACUUUUAAUAACUGCUUCUAUUUCUUUAGGAGUAAUGGGACUAUUUAGAUGGUUUAUUUGAUCCUGAUUUAACUUUGAUAUCUGACAUCUGUCUAGAAAAUUGUCCAUUUCACCCAGAUUUUCCAGUUUUGUUGAAUAUAGGGUUUUGUAGUAGGAGCUGAUGUGUUUUUUAAUGUCUUCAGUUUCUGUAUUUGUAUUCCUUUUCUUUUCUGAUUUUAUUUGGAUACUAUUUCUAUGCCCUAUGGUUAGUCUGUCUUAGGGUUUAUCUACCUUGUUGAUUUUUUUCAAAGAACCAGUUUCUGGUUUUGUUGAUUCUUUGAAUAGUUCUCUUUGUUUCUACUUGGUUAAUUUCAGCUCUAAGUUUGAUUAUUUCCUGCCUUCUACUCCUCUUGGGUGUUUUUGCUCUUUUUGUUCUAGACCUCCCAGGUGUGCUGUUAAGUUCUAAGUGUAGGAUCUCUCCAAUUUCUUUGCCAGGGCACUUAGUGUUAUGAAUUUUCCUCUUAGCACUGCUUUCAAUGUGUACCAUAAGUUUGUGUAUGUUGUGCCUUCAUUUUCAUUAAGAUUUAAAAAGUCUUUAGUGUUUUUCUUUAUUUCUUCCUUGACCAAGUUGUCAUUGAGUAGAGCAUUGUUCAGCUUCCACGUGUAUGUGGGCCUUCUGUUGUUUUUGUUGUUAUUGACGACCAGCCUUCACCCAUGGUGAUCUGAUAGAAUUAUUUCAGUAUUCUUGUACCUGUUUUGUGACCAAGUAUAUGGUCAAUUUUGGAGAAAGUACCUUGAGGUACUGAGAAGAAGGUAUAUUCUUUUGUUUUAGGAUAAACUAUAGGUAUUUGUUAAAUCCAUUUGGUUGAUAACUUAUGUUAGUUUUAUUGUGUCUUUGUUUCUGUUUUUAUGAUCUGUCCAUUGAUGUGAGUAGUGUGUUGAAGUCUCCCACUAUUAUUGUGUGUGGUGCAAUAUAUGCUUUGAGCCUAGUUCCUUUUGUGUGGGUGCCCUUGCAUUUGGAGCAUAGAUUGUCAGAAUUGAGUGUUCGUCUUGGUGGAUUUUUCCUUUUGAUGAGUAUGAAGUGUCCUUCAUUAUCUUUUUUGAUAAUUUUUUGUUAAAAGUUGAUUUUAUUCAAUAUUAGAAUGGCUAUUCCAGCUUGUUUCAUGGGACCAUUUGCUUGGAAUUUUUUUCCAGUCUUUUACUCUGAGAUCUUGUCUGUCUUUGUCACUGAGGUGCAUUUUCUAUAUGCAGCAAAAUGGUGGGCACAUUUUAUGUAUCCAGUCUGUUAGUCCAUGUCUUUUUGUUAGGAAAUUGAGUGCAUCAAUAUUAAGGAAUAAUGAUUGUUGUUUCCUUUUAAUUUUGUUGUUAGAAGUAUAAAUUAUGUUUGUAUGGCUAUCUUCUUUUAGGUUUGUUGAAAGAAGAUUACUUUCUUGCUUUUUCUAGAGUGUAGUUUCCCUCCUUUUGUUGGAAUUUCCCAUCUAUUAUCCUUUGUAGGGCUGGAUUUGUGGAAAGAGAUUAUGUAAAUUUGGUUUUGUUAUAGAAUAUCUUGGUUUCUCCAUCUAUGUUAAUUCAGAGUUUUGCUGGGUAUGGUAGCCUGGGCUAGCAUUGUGUUCUCUUGUUUCUGUAUGAUAUCUGCCCAGGAUCUUUUCCCUUUCACAGUCUCUGUGGAGAAUUCUGGUGUAAUUCUGAUAGGUCUGCCUUUAUAUGUUACUUGACCUUUUUCCCUUACUGCUUUUAAUAUUCUUUCUUUGUUUUGUGUGUUUGGUGUUUUGACUAUUAUGUGACUGGAGGAAUUUCUUUUCUGGUUUAAUCUAUUUGGAGUUCUGUAGGCUUCUUUUAUGUUUAUGGGCAUCUCUUUCUUUUGGCUAGGAAAGUUUUCUUCUAUAAUUUUGUUGAAGAUAUUUACUGGCCCUUUAUAACUGGCUCUUCUAUACCUAUUAUCCUUAGGUUUGGUUUUCUCAUUGUGUCCUGGAUUUCCUGGAUGUUUUGAGUUAGAAACUUUUUGGUUUUUGAAUUUUCUUUGACUAUUGUGUCAGUGUUUUCUAUGGUAUCUUCUGCCACUGAGGUUCUCUCUUCAAUCUCUUGUAUUCUGUUGGUGAUGCUUGUAUUUAUGACUCCAGAUCUCUUUCCUAGGUUUUCUAUCCCCAGGGUUGUGUCUCUUUUUUGAUUUCUUUGUUGUUUCUAUUUCCAUUUUUAGAUCCUGGAUGGUUUUGUUUGAUUUCUUCACCUGUUUGGUUGUGUUUUCCUGUAACUCUUUAAGGGAUUUUUGUGUUUCCUCUUUAAGGGAUUCUACCUGUUUGUUUGUAUUGUCCUUUAUUUCUUUAAGGGAAUUAUUUAUGUCCUUUUGUAAGUCCUCUAUCAUCAUCAUGAGAUGUGAUUUUUAAAAUUAAAUCUUGCUUUCCCGGUGUGUUGGGACAUCCAGUACUUGCUGUGGUGGGAAAACUAGGUUCUGAUGAUGCCAGGUAGUCUUUGUUUCUGUUGCUUAGGCUCUUGUGCUUGCCUCUCUCUGUCUGGUUAUCUCUGCUGUUAGUUGAUCUUGCUGUCUCUGACAGGAGCUUGUCCCUCCUGUGGUUCUGUGGUCCUGUGAGCCUGUGAUCUUAGAAUUGAGAACACUCCUGUAAGACCAGCUCUCUGAGGACAGUUUUUGGGUCUGGAGGGCUAUGGAUAGCCUUAGAUCUGAGUGCAGAUGGAAACCAGAAGGGUCCUUUCCCAGUCUCCUGAGUCUCCUGGUGAGUCUCUCCUUGGACAGUCAAUGGAGUGAAAGUGGGGUCCGAUCUGUGGGCUUCAGAAUGAGAGUCUUCCUGGGAGACCGGCUCUCUCCAGGCAGGUUUUGGGUCCGGAGGGCUGUGGGACAGCCCUAGCUCUGGGCACAGAUGGAAACCAGAAUGGUCCUGUCCCAGACUGCUCUGUGGUUCCUGUGCCCAGUACACUCCUGUCUGGUCUCUCUUUGGACAGUCAGUGGAGAGAAAGUGGGGUCCCACCUGUAGAAUUAGAAGUAAGAACGCACCUGGGAGACCAGCUCUCUGUGGGCAGGUUUUGGGUCCUGAGGGCUUAUGGGACAGCCCCAGCUCUGGGGGCAGAUGGAGACCAGAAGGCGAUUUUAUUCUUUGAGUUUGUUUAUAUAGUUGAUUAAUAGAUUUUUGUAUGUUAAACCAAAAUGAAGUAGGAUGAAGCCUACUUGAUCAUUGUUCUGUUGGUGAUGCUUGCAUCUGUAAUUCCUGACCUCUUUCCUAGGUUUUCAUUUCCAGGAUUGCCUCCAUUUGUGUUUUCUUUAUUGUUUCUACUUCUGCUUUUAGAUCUUGGACAAUUUUAUUUUAUUACUUCACCAGUUUGAUUAUGUUUUCCUAUAAUUAUUUAAGGGAUUUGUUUCCUCUUUAAGGUCUUCUACCUGUUUACCUGUGUUUUCCUGUAUUUCUUUCAGUGAGUUAUUUAUAUACUCCUUAAAGGAGUCUAUUAUCUUCAUGGGAUAGGAUUUCAGGGCAGCUUCCUGAUUUUCACAUGCGUUGGUGUAUUCAGGAUUUGCUGUCGUCAGAGAACAGGGUUCUGAUGAUGUCCACAUAUAUUGCUUAUGGUCUUGUGCUUGUCUCUCACCAUUUGGUUAUCCCUGGUGUUUCCUGGUCUGGCUGUCCCUGUAUAGAGUCUGCCUCUUUUGUCUUUGGACUGCUUUAGGUCUCCUGGUAGGCCUGAGUCCCUGGCUGUAGCAGACCUCCAGCCGGGCCUUCCAACUGUGGGGUCUUCAGAAGGGCAGAGAAGCUGCUGAUCUGUUGCCCUGGCUGCAGCAGAUCUCCUGGGAGGCUUCAGACUCUUGGUCUUCAGAGGAGCAGUCAAGCUGCUGUUCUGUGUGAAGCUCUUCGGGGGGUGGCGGGGGGGGGCUUCAGACUGUAGUUUCUGUUUCCCUGUGAACAGCAGAACUCCAGGGAGGCUUUCAGUCUGUUGGGUCAGUUGCGUUGCAUGCCGCAGAGCCCUGAGAUGUCUUCAGACUGUGGUAUCAGUUGCCCAGUUGCCCUGUGUGCAGUGGACUUCCUGGGAUGCCUUCAAGCUGUGGUGUCUUCAGGGGAACAGACAAGCUGGUGAUCAGUUGCCCAGUUGCCCUGUGUGCAGUAGAUCACCUGGAAUGUCUUCAGGCUGUGGUGUCAGUUGCCCUGAGUCCAGUGGAACUACAGGAUGUCUUCAGGCUCUGUUGUCUUUUGGGCAGUAGCCUAGCGGGGAGUCUGCCCUGGUGAAGGCACCAGCCGGAAAGGGCUGUAGCUUUGAUCUUAUCCUAAGCACAAGGAGUCUUUAUCUGACAUUCUCUGACCUUCCAGAGCACUCUGCAGCCCAGCCCUGGCUCACUUUAUCUGACUGUUAGGCAGCAGUCAGCUCACAGGGUAUAUAACCAAACUGAAUUGUUUCAAUAUAUUAUUCACUAUAGAGUAGCCAUGUACCCUAAGUUGAGAAAUUAUACAUUACAGGAAGACCAUGAGGGGUCCGUUACUGUUACUGUGUCUCCUUAACUGCAGCUCCCCACUCAUGGGAGGCUGGAUGAUUCUAGUCAGUAUAAAGUCCAAAGAUCAUCUCAUGGUGGUAGGAAUUGGUAUCCCCGUGCCUGUGGAUUCAUACAAAUUUCACAAGAGACUGGAAUGUUAAAAUGCAUCAUAUUUAAGAAGUAGAUUGUUUCUAAAUUGUUCAUUAGUCUCCACACCUAUGGUGUGUGUUUAAUGGCAGUGUGGUAAUUAAUGAACUUAUUAAUUUUUAAGAUCACAAAGUAACCCUUUCUUAUUUAGUGAAUUGCACAAUGCAGCUCAGCUUUCUCAGGACAUCCUGCCAUCUGCUCUCCGUUCACAUGUUCCUUGUGACCUGACAUUCAUGGAACGCUCUCGUCUUAAAGACUGGCGACAAGUGUGCUGUUUUCUCAUUUUCUGAUUUUAAGUAUCACAAGACUUUAAAAACUUUUUUUUGCCUAAGUUGAUAAUAAUAUUCAACCUCUUGUAGAUAAAACUGCCCAACAUCUUUAGAAUGGAAUGGAAGUAAGAAUUCAUUUGCUUUUCCCAGCAAAUAUGGCUGUGUCUGGAAGUGAAGGAUAAAAGAUAAAUGAAACUGAAGGAAACAUUGAUAGUCUGGUUUUGCUUGGGUCAUGGACACUGCAGGUAAUCCUUUCUUUGUGCAUGCAGAAAGGAAAGGCAUAAUGUUUAAGAAACCCCUGAAAAUAAUGAUAUGGUAAUGAAGUUGGGCCUUAGCUAGCUAGGGGAAGACACAGAGAAUCCUGAUUACUUUGAGAAUCUUUGAGCACUCUGCAGCCCACUCCAGACUAAAGGGGCAGGACAUUAGAAGAUAGGCUGGAGUGCCUAAGUGAGCUCUGGACAGCUGGUAUUUAGGGAUCUCUAAAGCAGAAGGUGUGUCACCCCAUUAUUAACACAGCCAGCUGCUUCCAACUUAACAUACUUCAUGGCUAAAAUUCCUUAUAAAAAUCAAUUGAAAGGCCACUUUCCUAAUAGUUGGACAUAAUUAUUUCAUUUCUUAUUUUGAAAACCACUUAUUUGUGCUUGAGUUGCGAUCCUCUUAAUUCUCUUAGGCUAUUUGAAGUCAUUUAUUUGUAAAAGUUUUAUCAGAAAGGAGAGCAAGUAUAAGUCCUCAGAAAUGCUUUUCGGCAUUCACUAAUUCUUUAUUCAUUUACUUAGUCGUCUGGCAAACAUUACGUAAGGCUAUAUUUAAGGAAAGUGAAUAUUCGUGUAGGCCAUUAACCUAGCCUGAGGGUGUGUUGAAUGUGAAUUAAAUUAAAUACACAUGCACAGGCAUGCACACAUGUGUGCGCCUACAAAUGUAAUGUAAGAAAAAAACUGCCAGUAGAGGAGUUCUUACCUGUGACAAUUUGGAAAUCCCUUAAGAAGCAUUUUGAAUGCCAAAUUUGACAUAAAAAUAUGGGUAAAAUUUGAAUAUUUUGGCAGAGAUGAAAGGUAUUCCAGAUAUAAGAUUCAGUGUUGAAGAAAGCCUCUGCUGGGAACUAAUGGGGUUCCACGUGGUGAAGUGGGGAAGGCAUAGUCACAUGAAUUUGUAAAUUUGAUAAAUAUUAUACAUUCUCCAUGGGAGGGGAAAACUGGGUCUUGGAUUUUCAUAAUAAACGUGGUAAAAUUGUUGGAGGGCAGAAUGUAGUAGCAGAAGUAUAAUUCCAUCUCUACCUUCUCAGGCCAUCCACAUCCCAUUUACACAGUGUGUAAAUAAAAAUCAUAGGCGAUCUAACAUUCCAACAACUCUACUGAUUGGUUUUUGUUAUCUCGAUGCAAACUAGUGUCACCUAGGAGGAGGGAGCCUCACUUAAGAGUAUGUUUCUGUGGGUAAGUCUUUGGGGCUUUUGUUGAUUGUUAGUCAAUGUCUGAAGGUCUACCGUGAGUGGUGCCUGCUGGGAACAGGUGGUUCUGGGGUGUAUUAAAAAAGCAAGCUGAAUGAACCAUAGAAAGCUAGCCAGUAAGCAGCAUUCCUCCAUGGCUUCUGCUUUAGUUUCUGCCUCUGUUGUGAGGAACCACCAGAGAAGACUACUUGGACAUGGGUUUAAGCCAAUAGAAAAAUCUUCUUUUUUUUCCCAUGAGAAUUGCCAUUUAUUCCCAAAGUUGCCAAAAUCAGCACCAAAGAUUCACCAGGAGUGCCAAGAGAAUGAGGAGGCUCAAACACUGAUCGGGGGUUGUCAGUUUAGAGGGAAGUGGAAUGGCUAGGGGAACCCCAGCUGUCCCUUCGCCAUCUAAUGUCUCAGAAAAGCAUCUUUCUCUGGCUGGCCUCCCCUCCCCAUCCCCAUGUCCAGUUUUUCUCAAGGGGAGAUGGGUUGGGGACUUAGAAAGAAGUUGUAGUGUGAGUGGGCCCUAGGAUGGGGAAGGGCACUGGGGGGUGCAUUUCACAUGUACUCACAAGAAAAUCCUCAUUAGUCAGCCAGCAAGCACACUGGGCAUUUGGGAUCCCAGUGUAGCACCAAUCCUUACACACACACACACACACACACACACACACACACACACACACACACACACACACACCAUGUUCUGGGUCGAUAUACUUCAUUUAACAAGAACAGUUAGCCUGAAGUGGAGCUACAGAAGCCAAAAAGCAGGCUUAGUACGUUUAGGGGAUUUCCCAGAACUGUGGACGUCGAUGGAUUAGGUCUUUGUUUUUGGUUGGCAGGUGGUGCUGUCUGCACGCUGAGUUUUAUGGUCUGAAUGGCAUUUCCAUCAUGGAGUCAGUUGUGCUAAGGUCUGGGGGCUUGCUUUAUCUCUAGGUUCUUGCCUUGAGUUCAUGCCCAGUGUCUCUUCCUGAUAGACUAAGCGCUGUAGGAUGAAAUAACACCCCCCCCCCGUUUGCUAUGGACACGGUGUUGAUCGCAGCAGUAGGAAGCAAACUGAGAAGCGGCUGUAAUAUGACCGGUCUCUGAAGUGUUGGCUGACAUUUUUAUCCUGGUCUGAGCAUUACUUAUUUUUUUCCCUAACCAUUUUCUUACAUCCCAUAGGCUCCGUUCCCUAGAAACAGACACCAAAAUGGGAAUAUUUCAAUGCAAGAACUUUAUUGUCAGUGCUCUUGGGAGAACCAGAGCAGAGAAUACUGAGAAAAGUCUGGAGGGAGGAAAGGCAUGAGGUAGAUGUAGAUCGUUUCUCCUGAAGUCUAGCCUUGGUCAAGAGGACCUCAUAGCUAUCACACCCUUUGUUCUCUUUCAGGAAUUGUUCACUAACUAAAUCUAUCUUCAAAAGAUGUAGAACUUCCCAUACUUUUCUAGAGAGGCCACUCCCAGAUGCAGAGGACAUUUCUUAGGAGGAAGUACAGUUCCUAGCAGUCAGUACUCAGAGGAGCUGAGAGACAGAGGCACUGCAGAAAAGGGGCAGCUGGUUUUUUGUAAGAGUAAUUUUGUCCCUGGCAGACUUUUGGUACAGUAUUUGAGGAAGGUUUUGCUUAGUCUGAAUCAGAAAAGGCUGAUUUGAGUUAUUGCUACUGGUGUGAAAUAAACAGAGGCCAGGAAUACUGAUAAAGAGCCCACAAUUCCCAGAAUACACUGUAUUCUGUAAUUCUUUGUGAUCAGGCUAAACUGUCAUUAUAGGGAUGACACACACUAGGUAGUAAGAAGCUUAGCAGGACUCUGACAAUGACUACUACACCUUCUUCUCCAUGCAUGCCUCAACUGUAUGUAUAUAUUGCUGCAGUAAGAGACAUUUGUAAAUCUUGGGUUAAUCAGGUUAACCCAUCUAUCCAUAGAUAUAUUCAACACAUGCUGCAUUAAGUGAUCAUUGAACACUUCUUACAUACUAAGGUAGUAGACUACAUAGUAGGAAUUCAGGGCCAGGCAUAGCAUGACAUAUGUUUCCAAGAAGCUUACAAAUUAAGUGAGAGACAUCAUACUCUAGUUGCUUUUCCAAGUUUGAAGGACAAAAUAUAUAUUAACAUUGGCUGACUGUAUUAAAUUUAAGACUAGAGAAUAGCAAGCUGUUGGCUCAGGAAAGCAACUGACAUGACAUGUAAUUGUCUUUUGGGAAUGGACUUCAUUAGGAGAAAGGCUGACAGGGAUAUUAGAAUUGGAACAGUACAAUUAUAUUUAAAAUAGCAUAAUAGAGCUUUGAAGGAAAAGAGAAGCUUUGCUACAUAAACUGGAGAAGAUCUUUGUGUGUGUGUGUGUGUGUGUGUGUGUGUGUGUGUGUGUGUGUGAGAGAGAGAGAGAGAGAGAGACAGAGACAGAGACAGAGACAGAGAGAGACAGAGCAGAGACAGAGAGAGGGAGAGAGAGAGAGAGAGAGAGAGAGAGAGAGAGAGAGAGAGAGAGGGAGAGAGCAAACUACUGUGAAAAGGGAUAGAGGGGGAGUCAGAGACCCAGAGAAACCUUCAGAGAAAUUGUCUGAACAACAGCAACAAAACUCUAACUUUUAAAAGUGUGAGGAUGGGGUGGGGGUACUCACUGGAAGUUUUAUAGUACAUUAUUUAAUUCAAUAUAACAUGCAUAAAACAUGGAAUAAACAGCAUGAAAAAGUCAGAGACUGGUUAGGACCAUAAAUUAGAGGCUGCUGUUAGGCCACAGCACAGGCUGCUGCUGCUGCUGCUGCUGCUGCUGCUGCUUUCUUCUUUCCUCUUUCCUCUUCUUCCCCUUCCUCCUCCUCCUCCUCCUCCCCUUCUCCUCCUCCUCCUUCCCCUUCUUCUCCUCCUCAACCUCCCCCUUCUUCUCCUCAUCCUCCUUCUUCUUCCCCUUCUUCUUCUCCUUUUCUUCCUCUUCCUCCUCCCUUUCCUCUUCUCCCUCUUCCUUUUUCCUCUUCCUUUUCUUCUUCUUCCUCCUCCUCUUCUCCCUACUCCCUUUUCCUUCUCCUUUUCGUCUUCUUCCUUUUCCUUUUCUCCCUCCUUCUCUUCUUCCUCCUCCUCUGCCUUUUCCUCUGCCGCCUCCUUUUUAAUUUUUUAAUCUGCUUUGUGAAUAAUUUUAUUUGUUGGAGAUCAUAAUAUAUCAUUUCCCCUUCCCCUCUUCCUUUUUCCCCUCAAACUCUUCCAAUGUAGCUUCCUUUUGCUGUCUUUCAAAUUCAUAGGCUUUUUUCCUUUCAAUGUGUGUGUGUGUGUGUAUGUGUGUGUGUGUGUGUGUGUGUGUGUGUGUGUGUGUGUGUGUAUUCCUCUUCAAUUCAUAUACUGUUGUUUAGUAUGUUUUUCAGGGCUGACCAUUCCACUUAGUAUUGAACAAACAACUGGCAUGUUCCUUUAAGGAGAAAGCCAUUUCUCCUGUUCUUAGCAUCUCUUAGUUGCCUGUAUUCUUCUUCUGGGGUGUGGGCAUUGGUAGCUUCCUCUCAUUCAGCACAGCAAGUCUAUCAGUGUCAUCCUUGUUCAAGUCAUGUGCAGUCCUUUUGGUAAGAUCUUGUGGGUGAAUCUUCUCUGACAUUUGUAAGAGACACAAUUUCAUAGCACACUUCCUGUUCCUCUGAAUUUUAAAAUCUUGCCAAUCUCUUUCCCAUGGUGAUCCCUGAGCUGUCAAUGUCUGAGUUGUUUUAUAGAUGUAUGCACUGGGACUGGGAUACACAACUCUGCAUUUUGAUUGCUUGUGGUUUUCUGUAACGAUCUGUGUGUUACAACAAAAAUUUCCCUUGAUAUGGUGUGAGGACUGUACUUAUCUGUGGGUAUAAGAUUAAAUAUUUAGCGUGUAGUCAGGUAUUGUUCUGGUUUAGUAAAGUGGUGGUUUAAGAUUUCUCCAAGGUCCAUGAUGUCACUAGUCAUGGGUAGUUGGCUCCAGUACCACACAGGGUUUUCUUCUUGUUAAGUCAGCUUUAAAUCCAAUUAGAGAACUGUUGUUUAACACCAUUGUGCCACUAUUACACCCUGGAGGUUUUAGUGUCAUGCUGGUCAUUGUUAUGGUUCAAAAGUGUCACAGCUUGGUAGGAUUGUUAACUGCCUCCCUCUCUGGAAGCUAAUAUAGUGCCUUUUCCUACCUCAGGUCAUAUCCAGCUUAGGUCUCCUGGGCCUUGUGUCCAAAGUACAUGGUAUCUUAAGCAAUAAGGACUAACCUUUUAUUUUGAGGCAUCAGGAGGUUUAACAAGGACAGUAUCAAUAGCUUGUUAUAUUUUGGGAUUCUCUUGGACAACCAUGAUCAACAAUUCAAAAGGGGGCUUCUCAUGCUUUACCAGGGUUUUUGUUAGAUAGUCUAUGAGUCUUUUCAGUCAAGAUGGGACAUUUUAGUUUAAACUGUAUAUUUAUGUGUAAAUACAGGUGUAAAAAUUUUUUAUGUGUUUUAUGCAGAUAGAUAAUGUGAUUCCUUCUGAGUCAUUUUUCAGAUAUCCUUACUGUUUUCCUACCCUCCUCCUUCUGUAUUUCUAUUCCUCCCCUCCUACCCUCUGUUUUGCCCAGUCCUUCAGAUCAGUUAGACCCUAUUGUUCUUCUCCCCAUCCACACAGUGGACCCUCCUUUUGCUUUCUUGGUUUCUGCAGAUUCACUCACACAUAAAGAUUCAAAGCUAGGAAUGGAUGAGAAAGAACAUGUGGAGUUCGCCUUUGAGGGCCUGGAUUGCUUCAUUAGUAUGAUUUUUUUCCUAGUUCUAUCCAUUUACCUGCAAAUUUCAUAGUUUUAUUUUUUUCUUCUCAGCUGAAUAGUAUUCUAUUGUGUAUAUGUAACACAUUUGCACUAGUCAUCCACCCCUUGAAAUGUUUAGGCUAUUUCCCUUUCCUGGUAUUGUAACUAGGGAAACAAUGGACAUGUCUGAGCAAGUAUCUGUUGAGUAGGAUGUUCCUGACUCUCUGAGUCAAGCGAGGUUGCUGCCGGAAGCAGGGACAUGACUUGAUUUCUUCAGCCUGUGGGACCUGGUUUCCUAAAAGGGAGGCCUAUGCCAUCACAGACCCAAUCAUAAAUAGCAAUCAUAAAUAUUCAAUCAUUUCUCUAACACAUAUUAUUGAGCACUUCCUACAGACUAUGUACUAUUCUAGAAAUUUAAAAGACAGCAGUUAACAAUGUGGAAAAAGUCUUUAUCUCUAAGGAGUGUAUAGUGCAUGAAAAUAACAAAUAACUAUCAUUCAAAGAAGGAAAUACAUAAAUGACAAAAAAUAGUACCGAGAGAUGCUAUGACAAAGGAAGAGUGGGCUAGUGGGCUAGUGGGUCAGAUUGAGAGUGGUAGGUAUAUUUAAUUAAAGGGUAGAGAAUCCCAUCCAAAAAUAUGAAGGUUCAGAUGAGACCUUAGUAGGGGAAAGAAAACCACUGUGAGAAGAUUCCAGGGGAUGAUGGUUUUGGAGAGAGGAAGAUGCUGGCUUCACAGUCAGAGAGCAGUGUGGGUAAAUCUCUAGUAAAGGCUGAGGUAUGAUAAGGAGUGGGAGCUAGAGGCAAGCAGGGCGGGUUAAGGCACCAUGAAGAGUGAGUAUUUUGUCCAAAUAGUCAUGGUGUUUUACUGGAAAAGAGUAUGAUGGUCCAGCAAGGUGGCUUCUGUAGUACUGGAGGAAAAGGAUCACAUGGAAAUAAAUCCUUGUGUACAGUCUUUGCUCUGUCUUCUCUUCACACCACAGACUAUCUUUCCCUCCUGUCUUCUAACUGUAAAAUGGCCACCAGGGGAAACCUGACAAUCUAGAAAUAAGUUCAACACAGUACCUUUCCAACACAUUACAUUAUUUCUGGAGAUAAAUGACCUUGAACAGGCAGCAAAAUAUUUCUCAUACGUGUGUUUUAGAUGUGGAUAUAGCAACAGAGAGAAGAAGCCUUUCAGAUUAGUGGAGUUAGGUGCUAGCUGUCUAAGAUAUACUUGGCAUAGUAUCUCAUCCAAACCAAAUCACUCUCAACUCUUAAAUAUGUACAGAAACUUUUACUUUGAAAUAUGAAUGAAUAUAAGAUGAACAAUUGUCAUGUAAUUUAUUUGUAGUUUAUGUGUGACAGAGAUUGUAUGUGUGAGUGAGUGUAUGUGAAUGUAUAUGCAAGAGUGUGUGUAUUUGUACCUGUUUAUAUGUGUGUGUGUGUGUGUGUAUGUGUGUGUGUACCAUUGUAUCUUGAAAUUCAGACUUUGCAACUAAGUUCCAAUCUUCUCACAGCUUUUCAUUAUUCAGCAAGUGUUAUUAUAGGAUAGACUUGAGUUUGAAUGAUACUAUUUGUGUAAAAUGAAUUCUUUUUAUGUGUUACAAUUCUUUUGUACAUAGUGGCUAAUAACAUUUUUUGAUAUAUUAAUAGAGAGUUUAACAGAAGCCUAAAUGAGCUUGUAUAAUUUAUGGAAGUAUUUUAUAGGCAAGGAGUUUAUUUGAAAAUUAAUUGCAUGGAAUGUAUAUAUCACAGAGGUAAUUCAGCAUCAUUUUAAUCGUAAAGAGUAGACAGCAAGAGACUCUUUUGUUACACACCUCCUUUUGAACACUCUUCUCCAAGGUUCAUAUGAAUGUGUUUAUCAAAGGUGGAGCUUUAAAGUUGAUUUUAAAAGACACUGGAUAUUUAGCUGCAUUUAUAAUUGUUUUAAAUAUCCCCUUAUGAAUCAAAACAAGUGAAUUUUCUUUUUGACUGUCCUGGAGAUCUCAUUAAUGUCUUGGUAUGUUAAAGACAGUAGCAAUUGUUCAUAAUUUAGUCAUUUGAUGACUGUUUAUUUUAAAUUCAUGAUAUAACAGACUGUCUCUUGGCAGAGAAAUAGGAAUUAUGUUAUGAUUCCCAUGUGUGUGAUUCUGCAGUCGUCCCACAGAUUUUACACACAGCAGCCGCCUGACUGCUAAUACUUUACAAAUAUGCAGAUAUAGAAGACUGUAUUUGCACAAACAGGCUUCAUUAUCUAUGUGCAUUCUGCUUAAUGUGCUUAAUUUUUGAAUAUGGCAAAUAUUAUGGCAUAAUUUUAAAACACAAAAAUCUUAUGAAGAGCAAAACUGUGACACAGUGAUAAAUCCUUUUGCUGAGCAGACUAGUUCAUAUGUGAUUAACCACUGAUUCUCUAAGUUGAAUGAUAUUAAAUAUUCUUUAAAUUGUCACAGUUGUCCUAUGGGUACCAUUCUGCUCAUAUGUGCUUGCAAAAUCAUAAUGUAAAUAAUACUUUAUGGCAUGUCCCUUCUUCUUCCCCCUGAUAUGCUGUGAGGUGACAAAGUUUCAUUGCAAACGAGAGUGUCUUCUAGAUUCUACUAGAUUUAAGAAGCAUGACAACUUAUUUAUUGGGUAUGUUGGGCUCUGGUCCCAAGCCACAACGGAAUUUUGAGUUGCUAUUCUUGUUCUGUAAGUUAUGCAGACUGAUAUUACUAAAAUAACCAUAAGACAGCUUUAUGACAUAUUCUCAUGGAAUUGUUUGUGAACAUCAAAACAUAGGUAGAAUGUCAUGAAAAUAAAUAUGGGUUCCAUAUCAUGUUUAUUAAUCUGAUUCGUAAAUGCAGUCAUGGUGUUUUCUGAAACUACUUUUCAACCUUUGUUGUAGACUCUAGUUCACUUAGGACAAAAAUCUCUUUUAUAUAUAUUAUAAAAAAUAUUUACUGUAGAAUGACUUUGAAGAAAAUCGGUCUAUUUUCUUUCUUGAGAUAGAAUGUUUCUAUGUAGUCAAAAAUGCCCUGAAGCAUGCAAUUAAUCCAGGCUGGCUUCAGUUUACCUUGGAGUCCUCUGAUUUAGCCUUCUGCAAGCUGGGGUUGCAGGUUUGUACCAUACAAUCAUUAGCUGAAAUUUCAGAUUGCAAGUCUAAACCUGUGGCAAUUCUUUUGCCAAAUUUACACACACUAUAGGUGUGUGAACUUAGACAUUCAUACGAAGUUCACAGGUAAAUUCCUCACAAUAGAACAACUCAAAAAUGACUGAAGUCUCCUCUAAGGGAAUGAUAGACAAAAUAUAUUUUGGUGGAUUCAGACAGUAAUAUAUAGUGUUGUAAGAAGCACAUAUCUAACAAUAUGUAUUGCUUGUGUAAAAGAAUCUACACACACACACACACACACACAUAGACACACACACACCAUGGGUGAUUCCAUUUAAAUAAAAUUCAUAAACAGACUGAUUUAUGGUAUGAAGAAAUAUAAAUAAUGAUUAAUGAUUAAGCCAAAAAAGCAAAUGGUUACUAAAGGAAGGUGAUUGGAAUCUCCCUGAUCAAUGGUUGUGGUUAUGAAGGGUGCUCCAUGGUGCUUUAGAAGAAUGCCUAGUGCUCUUUUUCUUCACACAGAUGCUGGUGCUCAAGCAUUUACAGUAAAUUUGUAUGUACAAUAUGCUUAUUAUGUUUCUCAAAACUUAAAGGAGCAUUUAUUCUACCUCCCUAACUCUAGAACUCUGCUGGGGAUUGAUAUUUGUAAAAGUACUUUUCAGAAUGAAGGGAUGAUGGUACUUGUGGAAGCCUCUGAACAGAGGAAAAGCAUGAGACUCAAGGUUUCCAACAUAGCCAGCGACUUCUUUUUGCUAUGUACAGACAAACAUUGGUUGACUGAGAUUCUCAGUUCCUGAAUUUUACAUUCUGUUUAAAAAUAAAAAAAAAACCUCAAUGAUUAUAUGGCUUGCUGUGUGUGUGCAUGCGUUCUGUAUCCUAUUUCUGGGUCACACCUGCAGCUGACAGAACAGUGUGCCCUGUACCCCAACACAUAGGAAUUUUUUAGCUUUUCUUAAGUCACUCAUAAAAGCAUGACUGCUGACUAUUUGACAGAGGGCUAAACCACUCUCAGCUCUUUGUAUGGUAUAAACUCAUUUUUUUUCUAGAAGUAAAGUACUCAUUUACUAAUAAUGAUGUUAGCAAACGCUGGCAUGGUGUCUCCUGUGAAAAUUUAGUAUAUGUAGCAUGCUGCAUGAAAAUUGUUAUGUGAAUCUCAUAAUAUAUUGUGGUGUCUCAUGAUAAUACCAACGAUUUUAGUGAUUAUGAAUCACAAGACUCAAGAGUUUUCACAAAAUAAUUCUGUGUAACUGCAAGCUCACUGUUCUUCUUUAGUAGUGUGCAUGUCAGAGAAGCUUCAUUUCCUUCUAGUAUGUUGAGAAAUGAACAUUUCUUUAUUUAUCGGUUACAAUUCCCGGUCUAUCUUCUGUAGUUAUGGCAGAAACUAAAAACUGGUUAGUUUGUAAGAAAAUAAAUUUCCAUUACAAGUGAGAGGAUAAAUCCCUCUGUCCUCUUGCAAAGCCCUACUGCACUGCUUCAUCAACUCUAAGCAGCAUGCAGACUGGGGAGUACACUUCCAUAGCAUGAACUCUGAGAAAUACACUCAGGUUUUAAUGGCACAUUUGUGUAGAAUAAGAAUGAGAAGCUAUUUAUUCUCAUUCCGUCAAUUUUUUUUAUAUGACUUGGAACCUUCUGUGGCCAAACACUUAUUUGAAUCAGUAUUGAAGGCAGGGAUGGUCAAUCACCGAUUUCAAAGACUGCUUCAGCAUGGCCAGAUUCAAUGCCCAGUUUUCUGUUUUCAAUUUCUGUCUGACAUGUAGGGAACUACUGAGUAGGAGAUCCUGGCUGACAAGCGUGAAUGAUGUUGUGCCCUGAAUGCAUGGGAUGAGGCAGAGGCACUGCUGUGAGAAGGCACAUUAUUUUUGUACAGGAUUUUUGCUAGAAAGAUAAACCAAUUGCUAGGAUAUAUAAUCUUAAUUUUAGGCAACAUUGCUAGAAUAUGUAAUUUAAAUUUAUAAGGAAAGUUGGUUAACUAUGUAAGAGCUCAGUAUCACUUUUGUUAUUAUCUUGUUAUACUUCUGGUAAAGCAUAUACUUAUGAGAAUUUAUCCAUUUCUUUUUUAUUCUAUCAUUUGAGAAUAUAGGUUUUCAAAUAUUCUAUAAUGAUUUCCUCUUCUGUCUAUUCCGAUCUCUUUCAAAUAUUCUAUAAUGAGUCCCUCUUCUGUCUAUUCAUAUCUCUUUCAAAUAUUCUAUAAUGACUCGCUUUUUGUUUCUUCGUAUCUGUAUGGCUCUGUUGUUUCUGUCACUAUUGACUUCCAGUUUAAUUCCACUAUUGCUAAUAAUUGUCUAUUCUUAUCUUGGAGAAGGUUCAUGGAUUGUUGAGAAGACUUGUAGUCCAUGGUUGUGAGUAGAAUAUUGUGCAGAUUUAUAUUAAAUCAGUUUAGUCAAUGACUCUCUCUCUUUAUUGACUUUUGUUCUGAGAGAUCUAGCCACUGAUGAGCUACUUACCUCCCAUUGUAAAUAACCCUAUCUUUUUGUGAGCAGGAGUGCUUGUUUAUAUUAUAUAUGUAAAUUAUGUCACACAUAUAUGAAUAUGCAGGUUGCAAUUUUAUGUAUUUUGUGGAUAGUGUUCUUUAUUAAUAUGUGUGCCUUAGUGUGUAGUGCUCUUCUCUUAUAUUAUUUGUUGUAUGCUGUAUCAGGGAUAGCAGAGUUAUUUGCUUGGUUUGGCCUUCUGUUUAUUUAGGAUGUUGACUUUUACCUUUUCACUCUUCUUUAAUUUCUUUUUUUUUUUCGGAGCUGGGGACUGAACCCAGGGCCUUGUGCUUGCUAGGCAAGCGCUCUACCACUGAGCUAAAUCCCCAACCCUACCUUUUCACUCUUAAUUGUAUGUUUCUUUUCUAGUACAGUGUCGUUUUAUUUUUUAAUUGGGUGUUUUUAUUUAUUUGUUUUGUUCUUGACAAGGACUCAUGUAACGCAGACUGCCCUUAACUCUGAGUAGGCAAGGACAUCUUUAACGUCUGUUCCUUCUACUUCCACCUUCCAAGUUUGGGGAUAACAUGCAGGUGACUCCAUACCCCAUUUAUGUGGUGCUGGGGACUGAACCCAGGGCUUUGUGUAUACUAGCCAGACACUUUAUCUGAUAGACUGUAAUAGCAAAUCAUUAAAUCUUAUGUUAAGUCCAGUCACCUAGUCUGUGUCUUUAAUUGGAGAGUUAAUAGUCUUUACAUAAAGAUGCCAUGGAAAGGAAUGCUGGUAAUUGCUGUAAUUUUGUUGGUGUGGCUGUGUUUGAUUCAAUUAUUGUCUGUUCCUCAUUUCUGCUCUCUUAUUCAUAUACAUUUGUCUCCUUUAUUGUGCUGGAUGCAGUUUUUUCUUUUGCAAAAGUAUUUUUUAUUUGCCAGAGGUAAGUGCUGCCUCAGAGUCUUACUCCCUCUGUCUGCCAAUCUGCUAACCUAGGCCUAGUCCUGGAAGCUUCUAGCCAUUCCAAUCUGACCUAGGCCUAGAAUGUUUUCUGCCUCUGAGACUUGCUGCUGAGUAAACUCACCCCUUCCUAGUUCUUUCUGAACUCUCGCUGGCUGACUCAAUCUGCCCCCCACCCUUAAUCAAUCUCUCUCUCUCUCUCUCUCUCUCUCUCUCUCUCUCUCCCCCAAUCUCUGGCUCCUUCUUAUUCUCCGUCUCCGUCUCUUUUACCUGUGUCUAGCUUGUUCUCUCUUCAAGCUGUCCUAUAAAGCUCUCCAGUAAACCUACCUCCUACGUCACUUCUCUACCUGCACUGCUCUCUGAAGUAGCUUCCUUUCCCCUCUUAUAACAGUGGGCAUAUCUAUUCUGUCAAGUCUUUCUGAUUCAUCACUUUGUCUGCCACUCAAUUAGACUUCACUUUCAAAUAUGGCUGUUUCUUCCCACUAACUAACUUUUCCUUCAUUGUGUGGGAUUAAAGGUUUGUACUAAGCACAUGUCUGUAUUCCAGCGGAGAGUAUGUGCUAAGGGGUUAGCCACACAACUAGAUCAGCUUUUUUUUUUUUCAGUAAAUAACACAAUCUAAUUUAUUACAGUAUGAUCAAGUAUCUUGCAGCUUUUUUCCCCUAGAUUUUCUUUAUUAACCUAUUCCUCUCAUGUAGUUCAUUCUUCUCUAUAUUCUUUUAUCAUUGGUGCUGUCUUUUUUCCUCCUGUAUAUAAGGUUCCUUUAAGUAUCUUCUGCAGUCCUGGCCUGGGGGACAUGGACUGCUCAAAUUAUCAUAUUAAAAGAUGUUUAUCUGUCGACUUUGGAAGACAGCUUUGUUGUAUACAGUAAUCUUUGUUGAUGGUUUGUUUUCUGGGGGCAUAUCCAGCUAAAGGGAUAAGACUGCAGAGGUUGAAGUCUCACACUGGAGCUCACCAUUCUGUCUUUCUGGCAGUAAACAUCACUGCAAAUACCAGAAGUGUGGAGAGAACUGCUAUACCCUUUUCAUCAGAAUUCCUGAUUCCCUUCAGGACAAGGCUUCUCCUUCAUGCUCUGGGAAGUGUGGUGGCGAAAGCCAUAUUGAUUGUCUUGUGGACUUGUCAUUUUACUAUUCUUUUGUCAAAAAAUGAUCUUGGUAUCCAUUACUUCUAUAUCUCCUAGUAAACUGGAUAUUUUACUUUACCAAAACAUAAAUUGGAAUAUAUAGGUAUCUUUACAAAUAUAUAUCUAGAUUCUAAAUAUACAUAUUUACACCCACACAUAAUCGCCUUAAACCUGUGUGUAUAUGUGUAUAUUUGGGUGUGAGACUAUAGGAAUAUUAAUUUGUUUCCCUCUUUGACAUACAUUUAGAAUACUUCUUCCCCCCCAUUUUUAUUAAAUUGAGUAUUUCUUAUUUACAUUUCAAAUGUUAUUCCCUUUCCCGGUUUCCUGUCCAUCAACCCCCUAACCCCUCCCCCUUCCCUUCUACAUGGGUGUUCCCCUUCCCAUCUAACUCCCAUUACCGCCCUCCCCCCAACAAUCCCCUACACUAGGGGUCCAGUCUUGGCAGGACCAAGGGCUUCCCCUUACACUGGUGCCCCAACAAGGGUAUUCACUGUUACCUAUGAGGUUGGAGCCCAGGGUCAGUCCAUGUAUAGUCUUUGGGUAGUGGCUUAGUCCCUGGGAGCUCUAGUUGGUUGGUGUUGUUGUUCUUAUGGGGUCGCAAGCCCCUUCAGCUCUUUCAGUCCUUUCUCUAUUUCCUCCAAUGGGGAUCCUGUUCUUAGUUCAGUGGUUUGCUGCUGGCAUUCGCCUCUGUAUUUGAUAUGCUCUGGCUGUGUCUCUCAGGAGAGAUGUACAUCCAGUUCCUGUCGGCCUGCACUUCUUUGCUUCAUCCAUCUUGUCAAGUUUUGUGGCUGUAUAUGUAUGGGCCACAUGUGGGGCAGGCUCUGAAUGGCCAUUCCUUCAAUCUCUGCUCUAAACUUUGCCUGCCUUUCCCCUCCUCUGGAUAUUUUGUUUCCCUUUUAAAGAAGGAGUGAAGCAUCCGCAUUUUGGUCAUCCUUCUUGAGUUUCAUGUGGUUUGUGCAUCUUGGGUAAUUGAGCAUUUGGGCUAAUAUCCACUUAUCAAUGAGUGCAUACCAUGUGUGUUUUUCUGUGAUUGGGUUACCUCACUCAGGAUGAUAUUUUCCAGUUUCAUCCUAGUGGGUACAAUAUAGCAUUCUAAAUCAAUUUAUAUAUACUUAUAAAUUAUGAAUUUUAAUUUGAAAUCUUUGGGUUAAUCUUGAUCUCUUUAGAUUACACAUUUUUUUUCUUGCAACGACCAAGAUUGCAUUUCCUGCGCGUAUUUAUUCACAUAGAGGAAACGAAAGUAUGUACAGAAAUUAUGUUGGUUUUCUGUUGCUUUGCAAAUACCAUAAAAUUCAUGAUGUAUUAUAGUGUAGGUACACCAGAAGUCUAGCUGACUUUCCUCCUCAUAAGGCUGAAAUCAAGGUGUCAGUCUCUUAGAAUCUUAUCUGAAGGCUUUGGGUAAAUAUUGUUUUCUAGGACCAUUCAAAUAAUUAACACUAUUUAGUUCCUUGUGGUUGUCGUACUAUGGGUUCUGAUUUCUUGUUGACCAUCAACAGAGAGCUAUUCACAUUUCCAUCUAUCUCCUCCACCUUCAAGGGCAGCUAUAUCCUGAUUAAUACUUCAAUGCUACCCACAUUUGAAGGAGAGGAUAUUAUAAGAGGAUGAAAAUCACUGGAGUCCGUUCUUAGAAUUUUGCCUACUACAGAUAGGUAGAGGUGUAUUUAUGAUUCUGGAAUUUCCCCAAGAUGGUUAUUGGUAAGGGACCUAACAUAGGACCUAGCUUUAUUUGAUUAUUUAAUAGUGGCAUACUUCUAAAUUAAUUAGUGACAUGCAUUUUCUAUGGCUCUUUUAAAAUCUGUUAUCCUCUUUAUGUUAAAGAUUGUCUUGAAGGUCACCUUGAAAUUGGUAAACAAAAAUAUUGAUUUUUUUCUACAUUCAUUCGAAGAUUAUUAAAAAUUUUAUGAAGCACGUGAUGGGUAACCUGAUCCUUACUCCAAAGGCCCUUCCCUCCGCUGUGGCUGCAGGGAGGUGGAGUUGCUUACUGAGUCCUGCAUGAGGGUGAAAGCAGCAUGGGCUGAGAUUACGAUAAGUUUCACAAAGAAUGUCCUUCCGAGUAACAGGGCUAAAGGUUCUGUAAUAGUGCUCUUAGCCCACCGAUUCUUGUAUAUUUUUAUGCCUUUCCCAAGUCCUGUUCUACCAGCCAUUUCCCAGUUGGCAAUGCCAGCUCUUGGGAAACAAACAACUGAAAGUCUGGUUGCCAUUUACCUCUGUUUGACUUUGGCUGUGGAAACCUAAAAUAGCCAUUGUAUGCCCAGAAAAGUUGCUUUCCUCAGGUAAAAUGACCACAUGCACAGUAGUCACAGCUCUUAUGUUCUCUCCUUGAAAAGCCACAUUCAUAUUCUAUGCCCUUACGAAAAGCCACCAUGUGUGUUCCUCAGUUCAUCUGUGCUGUAUUUGGCUUUCAUUCAUUGGAGAAAUAAAUUCCAGGCAGGAUCUCCAUCUUUGUUGUGCUUUCUAAUGACUAGAUUACCCUCUGGCUGACACCACCAUUUAAGGGGCCCUUUGACUGAUCCAUUUCCUUUAUACUGGUACUUAAUAUGCGUCAAAUUUGUGCCUUUUUUAAAGCUUAUAGUCUUCCAUUCAAUAUCGUUCCAAUGUGUCUUUUAAUGAGUCAGGCUCCUCUGACAUCCCUCCCUAUUCUCACCCCAUAGACCCCAUACAUGUAAAGUUACAUUCAGCAGAGCAAAGUUUCUCAAUACAGUCACAUUCAUACAGUGGCUCAUUCAGAGAGUGCUGGGAAUCGCCUGAUGAAGGACAGGGGGCAGUGAUGUCAUAAUCCCUUCUAUGAUUCUUUUGUGUGGAUUCAACAUCUACACUGAUGCCCCUUGAAAUAGUUUGACCUCUCAGCUCUGUGACCCCAUCUGUUAAUCACUUACCAGAAUGAAGUGCCAGAAGAAUGAAGAGACAUUUUGAGUCUCUUGACUAUUCACUAUAAGUUGAUGUCUAAGAUAAAGAAAUGGAAAUUUCUAUAUCAUUGAAACUUUUUCUAUUUUUUAUUACUUAUGAGUAUGAAUUUUCCUGUCAUACUGUCGAGGUCUUAGGUGUUGUUGUUCCCCUAGAUUCCAUCUGUGACUUUGAACUGUAUUUCAUCUAUGGACUGGGUCAUAUACCUCCAGGAAGUUCAUGUUCGUAAUUACUCGUGUGGUAUCUUUUCCUUCACAUUUUAGAUCCUCCUUCCCACUUACGAUAUUCAGUUACCAUCUCAAAGAGCAUCAUCAGUGGUGGAAGAAUAGUGAUUAUAUUAGGUGACAAAGUAGUGUGGGUGAUUAUUGUGAAUACUGAAGGUGACAUUAUUCAUCUGGAAGAUAAACAGAACAAGUCACACAAAAAAUUGUGUUAUACACUUUUUCCAGCUGUACUGUGAUUGGAGUCGUUCUGUAUAUUGUCAGCACAAGCCCCAUUUAGUGCUCAGAGAGGACAUUUGUAUCAACUAUCACAAUGUGAUGAUUGCUACAGCUUGCCCAGAGCAAAACUUGUGGUAAUAAAACCUUCUAGAUUGGAA
Molecule: non-coding RNA, 55094 nt
Organism: Rattus norvegicus (Norway rat)
Lineage: Eukaryota; Metazoa; Chordata; Mammalia; Rodentia; Muridae
Source: RefSeq, a predicted model, not a curated record